GCGGAUUCGGCGUUCUUAAAGUUCGGGAGUCAACAUAUUCCUCGUCUACUAUCACUCGAGGUGGGGGUGCACACCGGAAUCAUCGGAUUCCCCUUUAUGUCUAUUUCAACUUUUAUUGAGCAUAUGGUUGUAUAGUCAUUCUUGCAUAGUAGGGUUAAAUUGUAAGGUACCGGACUUCUAAAACUAUGAAGUUACGGUGUACAUUUAAAUGGUUCCGGUGAGGUUGCGGUGGAAUGUAACAUACCGGAUUUUAAGUAUAAAGGUGAAAAUAAAUAAAAAUAGUAUGAGAUACUAUUUUAUUGGGUUUAGGGAAGUGAAAUAUAGAUUGAAAAUGACCUGUACUGAAAUCAGAGCGAAAACAGAAGAUUUAGAAUUUUCUGUAAGAAACGGGGCAAAUAAAUUAGCAGAAAAUGCACAGUGUCAGAAAAUUAUGAAAACUGAAGGAUAUGUCAAAAAUAUUUUUAUGGGGCUAGAUUUAAAGUUUCAUACCAUUCUGACACCCGUAGAGUGAGAAAUAAAAUCCGACAGUCAUCUGAUAAAGAUUACAGUUCGGUACAGUUUUCGGUGACUAAACGGGGUCGAAACUGAAAACGUAAGAUAUAUUCUUACUCAGUACGUUAAACCAAGCCUGCCUGUCAAAUUUGAGCGCAAACGGACGUUCAGAAGGGUUCUAACUGUUCCGAACUGCUAAACUACUGUCCGAGGUGAAUAAUGUAAUUGUUGAGGGACUGAAUUGUAAAAGGGACUUAAUCCCUUCUUCUCCUCCCUCAACCGUGCGUACACAACCUGCACACACACACACACACAACACACGCAUGGAAAGGAAAAGAGAAAACUCUCCCUUUCUCUCUCUAAAUCUCUCCCAAAAUUGAUGAAUUUGGUGGAGAAGCAAGCUUGGAAGCUGAUCUUCAUCUCUUUCACCUUCUUCCUCUCCAUUGGAGCUUGCUUGAGAGGUAAGCUUCAAACCCCUUUAAUGGUAGAUCUUUAGAGCUUUAUUUAGAUGCUCUAGAAAUGGGUUUGAUGGAAUCCUAGGAUGUUAAAUGAGUGUUUAUUGCAUGAUUUAAGUUCCAAUUUGGAGCAUCUUGUAAUAGUAAACACCUAGGGCUCAAAAAUGCUAGUUUGGUAAAUAUGAGGGUUUGAUCUCAUUUGACCCUCUGUAAACAUAAUUGCUAGGUAAACGAACGCGCUGGCGAAGACGGUUCGGCGAUUCGUCGAGCCGGUGCGAAGUUAUUAAAGAAACGAACGUUUAGGCGUCGUUUUCGCCUGGAGGGCCGAGGCGACGUCGUAAAAUCAUGGAAUUGGAUUUGAGGCACCAUAACAAUAAAACGAAGACCCUUUUUGCCCGAGGCUGCGAAGCGAUGCGCGGUUGGUGCGCAAUUGCAAGUUCCGGCAGAACCGAGCACCGGAUGCCGCGGGAGGCCGAUUGCAAGUGUCGACAAGCAAUCGGAAUGUACUAACAGGUGGGUUGUGUUUACCGAAGCGACUAGGUCGCCUUCAUGUCGAAGAAAAAUAUGAUUUCCUAGUUGAUGCAUAUAAUGGGUUGAAUGCUAUAUGAUGCAUAUGAUGUGAAGAUUGGGUAAAUGCAUAUAAUGUGAGAAACGUAUAUUGCAUGAUAAUUACAUAUGAAUAUAAUGCAUGCUAGUUGAUGAUGACAAAUUAAUAUGUUGAAUGUUAGAUGAAAGCAUGAACUAAAUGUUAGAGAGAUGCAUGAACUAAAUAUUAGAGAGAUGCAUGAAAAUGAUAUUGUAUGAAUGCAUAGGCCAUAUUAUGCAAGUUGGAACAUAUGCAUGUUAAUGUAUUUGUGGACUAUGUUGAGUAACAUAUGCUAAUUAACAUAUGCAUGUUGACUUGGGUCUAAAACUCUUGAAUGAUUAGAAAACUCGACAUUAGAAAUACAAAUGUAGUAUUAAUAUCAUGAUAUGGUUUGAAUUCCUACAAUGGGAUGAUAAAUGUGGAUAAGACCUAGGUAAAUGACAACCUAGAGAUUGUGUACAAGUAGAGCAUUGAGAACAUUUACAUGAUGACGAGUGGCAUAUAGUUAAUGUAAACACGAAGACGAGUGGCAUAUAGUUAAUGUAAACACGAAGACGAGUGGCAUAUGAGAACCUUAGUGUAGCUGAAACACUAGAUUGAUGAGUAUAGAAACUUAUUGGUUCUAUGUUGAUGCUAUCCUUAGUUGAUAGGAUGUUCUCAGUUUAUGUGGAUUUGGAUCGAGCUCACCUAGCCUGUCUGCGCCUGGUGUGGUCGCCCCACACAGGUAGUGCACUCCAGAGUUGUCACCCGAGGAGGGUUAACGUAUUUACCCUUGGACUAACGUAUCUGUCCGCAGGUGGUUUCGGGGGUAGUUGAGCCCGGGCUCCUCCCCUAUGAAACUUACUUACGUGAGAUUUGAUGCGAGCCUUGAGUUCGCCGAGAGAUUGGGUAACAAAUUAUGAGCUAUAGUGAUUGUCCUACUUGAGGGGAUUUAAGGCCGAGGUGUAAGUGAGACGUCCUUCGCCUCGAGUCUGGUUUUGUGCGGUACUCUGCAGACGAUUGACUCAAGACCGAGUCGGGCGGUUAGGUUUGUAAAGGUAGAUGAAACUUUAUGACAAAAACGGUAAAGGAUAGUGUCACGCCCCGCGACCAACCGCUAAUUUGGACCGGGUCGCGGCGCCGCUAACAGACCGCCGAACGGAUCGGGGUUUCCCCUGUACGCGGACAGAGUCUCCCCCGUACGUUCUAGGCGUCGCAAUCCAAACAAGAUACAUAAUGCCGAAACCCGAGUAAACUCCGUUAAUAAGGUACAUAGGUGGUCUCUAUACAUAGUACAAAACGUCUCUCAAAAACACAAAAAGAGAGUAACCACCUAGGAGCAAAAGCGAGCUCCGCUAUCUAUCAAGCUAGGCGACUCCCUUGCCGCGAUCCCGUGCCUCCGCCGGUGCCGAAGGCUCUGAAAAAAAAACCACAAAACAGGGGGCGUGAGAACUAUUGAAUAAUAGUUCCCAGUAGGCAAUUACUGGCUUCAGUGAAAUGCACCGCUAGGCCCAAACUAAAAAGGGGUCAGUAAGCAAAUAUAAACAAAAGCGAUAUGUACGACAAGUAAAUAAGCAUGAAUAUUUGCUAUCAUAUGAUAUCUCUACUUAGCAUGAUUUAGCAUAAGUAAGAAAAGCUAUUCUCGCAUGAAUGUACCCAAGCAUCGCUAAUAUGAUGUCCAUAAGUCAAAUAGUAAAGAUGUCAUUGCUUACUAUUCUAGUCAACGUCAACAUGGCAUGAUGAAUGCUCAAAGUCAAAUCUGAAGAGACCCACUCGAAGGCUGUCUAAGGCCCUGAGACCCACCCGUAGGCUGUGUAACAUAUCACAUCCCUCGUAAAUCAUGCCGAGUUUCGUCGAAAUAUGCGCAAUGCGGAGUGGAACAAGUUGGUAUGGGCUAGUAGUGCUUUGGAGCCCAUAUAUAGUGCAAAGGGACCCGAGAGAGUGAAAUUUCAAAAUCUGGCUAAGUCCCAGAUUUUGUGCUCUCGGGGACCGGUUCCUGAAGGAGAGACUGGUCUCCGUACGCGUAGCCUGCCAGGAAUCCUGAGGCAACCGGUCCCUGAGGAACCGGUCCCUAAAGGAGAGACCGGUCCCUCGUUGCGCAGUCAGCCAAAAACCCCGAAAAUUGGCUAAGUCCUGGAAAACAGCCUUUCAAGAACAGGUCCCUGGUCGGGGAGACCGGUCCCCCACUGCGAAAAUUGCCCAGUAAGGGCUGAUGCAGAAAUAGAAAGUUGAGGGGCCUUGUUGCUAUUGUUGCAACAUGUUAUAUACCCUAUACUCUCUCCCUUUCACAGCCAACUCUACCUCUCUUUCUCUCAUUUUUUCUUUUCUCUCUCUAGAGAUCAUCCCCUAGAGCUUGGAGAAGAAGGAGAAGAAGCAAGGAGAAGUGGGUUUUGGAGGCUUUGGUGGAUCUAAGAGCUCUCCUACAAGAAGGAUCUUGGGAGGAGCUUGGGCCAAGGUGAGUUUGAGCAAGUAGAACUCUAGGGUUUGGUUUUAAACCCUAAGAUUUGGAGUUUUGAGUUUGUUUCAAGCUUUAGAAACCUUGUAGAGCUCAAGACACCAUGAAACCAUGGUUUCUUGACGUGCUCCCAUGGUGAACCCCUAGGGUUCAUGCUAGAUGCCAUAGGAAUGUGUAGAAUGGCUUUGUAAAGGUAUUAGAGAGCUUCCUAGGUGAUUCUAAGCAAUCUUUUGCUUAGAAAUGAGAUCAAUUUAGGAGAAAUCUCAUUGUGACAUUGUUAGGGCUCAAAUUUGGGGCUUUUGCCCUAGGAUUUUUCGAGGACAAAUUGACCUCGUAGAAACCUAAUUGGGGGUGUCCUCGACGCAGGGGACAACUCCGUUGGACGUUACGAAAAUAUUUGAGUAUAGUUCCUGUAUAUAGGGUCUAAUAUGGCACUAUUUUGGCUAUAGGACGCGGAUUCGGUGUUUUUAAAGUUCGGGAGUCGACAUAUUCCUCGUCUACCACCACUCGAGGUGGGGGUGCACACCGGAACCAUCGGAUUCUCCUUUAUGUCUAUUUCAAUUUUUAUUGAGCAUAUGGUUGUAUAUUCAUUCAUGCAUAGUAGGGUUAAAUUGUAAGGUACCGGACUUCUAAAACUAUGAAGUUACGGUGUACAUUUAAAUGGUUCCGGUGAGGUUGCGUUGGAAUGUAACAUACCGGAUUUUAAGUCUAAAGGUGAAAAUAAAUAAAAAUAGUAUGAAAUACUAUUUUAUUGGGUUUAGAGAAGUGAAAUAUAGAUUGAAAAUGACCUGUACUGAAAUCGGAGCGAAAACAGAAGAUUUAGAAUUUUCUGUAAGAAACGGGGCAAAUAAAUUAGCAGAAAAUGCACAGUGUCAGAAAAUUAUAAAAACUGAAGGAUAUGUCAAAAAAUAUUUUUAUGAGGUUAGAUUUAAAGUUUCAUAACAUUCUGACACCCGUAGAGUGAGAAAUAAAAUCCGACAGUCAUCUGAUAAAGAUUACAAUUCGGUACAGUUUUCGGUGACUAAACGGGGUCGAAACUGAAAACUUAAGAUAUAUUCUUACUCAGUACAUUAAACCGAGCCUGCCUGUCAAAUUUGAGCGCAAACGGACGUUCAGAAGGGUUCCAACUGUUCCGAACUGCUAAACUGCUGUCCGAGGUGAAUAGUGUAAUUGUUGAGGGACUAAAUCGUAAAAAGGACUUAAUCCCUUCUUCUCCUCCCUCAACCGUGCGUACACAACCUGCACACACACACACACAACACACGUAUGGAAAGGAAAAGAGAAAACUCUCCCUUUCUCUCUCUAAAUCUCUCCCAAAAUUGAUGAAUUUGGUGGAGAAGCAAGCUUGGAAGCUGAUCUUCAUCUCCUUCACCUUCUUCCUCUCCAUUGGAGCUUGCUUCAGAGGUAAGCUUCAAACCCCUCAAUUUUUCACCUCUUACACAGCCCUCACUGGGCAUUCUGCGCGCUAAGGGACCGGUCUCCCCGACCUGGGACCGGUCCCCGGGGCCUCCCCCCGCGGACACGCGUUCGGGAACCGGUCCCUCCCCGAGAGACCGGUUCCCGGGAGACCGGUUCCUCUCAGAGAGACCGGUUCCCGAGAGCUGAACCUUUGGGACUUAGCCGAUUUUCGGCUCUUCUCACUGGUGUUGCAGGCUGGGACCGGUCCCUCCUCUGCCAGGGACCGGUUGCAUCAGCAACCCUACAGCCUUCAGUUGAUGGGACUGGUCUCUCACCUCGAGAGACUGGUCCCCGAGAGCAAUCCCAGCCCAAAAUGCAGAUUGCAUUAUUUGCUCUCGCGGACUCCAUUCCAAUGCACUUCUCGGUUUUCGUGCAUCCUUAGGUUUUCCAAAGCUUAUCCAUUCGACCCUUAGUCGAUUCUAGACGAGGUGCAACCCUUGGAUUUCGAGAGUUUACAUCGUUACAUUCUCCCCUCCUUAAAAGAGUUUCGUCCUCGAAACUCACUCAUUCUCACCCUCUUUUAUUCCUCGGUCCACUCCUCGAGUACUCAAGGGUUCCAAUGCACUUUUGUACUUUGGAGUGGCCUUUAUUCUCAUCGAACUCAUCUAAAGGCCCACGACGAAGAAUGUGAGACCACGUUUACUCACAUUUUCCUCUUGCAACAUUAAAAGUGCAUUAUCACUCUGCAAACCUCAAUGGCGGUGUGAGUCAAUACUUAAGACCCCACACGCUAACAUCACUAGCCACUCGGCUAGAGAAGGACCUAUUCCCUCGCGGUUCUAGCGAACAUCAUCACCGUUCGAGAUCAGGGCUACCCUUUCAUCCCUGUCACGCCCCGGGACCCGGCCUAGGCCCGCCCGGUGCGUAUCCAGACCCGCCAUAUGCCUACACAUAUAAGGCGUCUACAACAAUAGCGAAUAAAUGAACAACAAAUAGAGUGUAUCUAAAGAUAUCAGAGCAAGUAUACAGCUAAGUUCUUAAGCUUGUUGAACAAUCAGGUGGGAGAAUACAAGGAAAAACUUCAAUUAACCAUACCUAUAGUCGGCAAAACGAGGGUGUGUUUAAAAUAAAAUACUAUCGACAAGUCUAAGCUACAUAUAAGGGGGGUCUCUACAAAAAUGGUACAAGUCUCAAUCCUGCUCCAAACUAUCAAUCGCUGAAUAGGAGAGGUUACCUACCAUCGAGCUCGUAAUAUCCUCGCCUAGCUAACUCGGUGAAAAAGAAUGACCGUUUGCACGAGAUCGCCAUUCUCUCCAUAUUUCCUGCCCCGUCUGGUUGGAUCCCGAGCCAUCUUCUGCCUCUGGGUGAAAAUGGGAGAGGCUGAUCUGAAAUGGAAAACGAGUGGAACAAUCAGUGGAGGGCCUGGGAGCAACUAUAAUUUAUAGUUCCAGGGGUGGGGACAAUGUAAUCUGUAGCAUUAGCUAAAAUGCGAAUCCACUAGGGCACUAGAUCAAGAGGACAACCAGUGAGCAGAUAUAGAAAAAUUGAAAUACAAACUGCCAGAAAUAAAAGCACAUAUUAAAGAAAAUGGUCUAUACUGCGAUGCCACAAGUAUUAUGUGAUAAGAACAUGGUUAGCUUACUUUACUUCUAUCAUCCAUAUACGCAAUACAUACAUACUAUGUUCUAUCACGGCUAACCAAAGUAUGCUAUGAUGCAACAAGUAACAAUAGUUAGUCAUCGGUUCCUUCCUUGAUGCUUUAUACAUGUCCAAAUGUGUCAAUACUAUUGCUUGAAAAGUGCAUGUCUCAAGUAAACAACUACUAAGCCUAUCUAGUAGUGGUUAUUGUUAUAAAGUUAAUGUCAUUGUUCAAUCUUGUUUAGGACUACAGAAGUGUAGUCACGGUUGUGCCGCCUAGCUGCCUGUGGUAGCCACUCAUUCCACGCUAUGAAAGAGCUGUCCCGACAACGACCCUAAGGCGCCUGCGCCUAGCUGGCCCGUUUGGUUAGAUCGCUCNNNNNNNNNNNNNNNNNNNNNNNNNNNNNNNNNNNNNNNNNNNNNNNNNNNNNNNNNNNNNNNNNNNNNNNNNNNNNNNNNNNNNNNNNNNNNNNNNNNNAUUCUAAGCUUAGGAUCCACAGCUAUCCCAGUUUCAGAAUCACAUGGCCUAGAAAUGCCACUUCUCGAAGCCAAAAUUCGCAUUUCUUUAACUUUGCAAACAGUUUCUUUUCUCGAAGUACUUGUAACACCGCUCUCAAAUGGUCUUCAUGUUCCAUGUCACUACGAGAAUAUAUCAAGAUGUCAUCAAUAAACACUACGACAAAUCUGUCCAAAUAGGGCUUAAAGACACGGUUCAUUAAAUCCAUAAAAGCUGCUGGGGCAUUAGUCAAUCCAAACAGCAUGACUGUAAAUUCAUAAUGCCCAUACCGUGUUCUAAAGGCGGUUUUAGAAACAUCUUCAGGCUUGAUCUUGAGCUGAUGAUAGCCUGAUUGCAAAUCAAUUUUGGAGUACACUUUCGAUCCUUGCAGCUGAUCGAAUAAGUCAUCAAUUCUAGGCAAUGGAUAUUUAUUCUUGAUUGUGACUUUGUUGAUUUCUCGAUAGUCCACGCACAAUCGAAGAGAUCCAUCAUUCUUCUUAACAAACAAUACCGGUGCUCCCCAGGGCGACACACUUGGUCGAAUAAAUCCUUUAUCUAGAAGAUCUUGUAACUGUGCCUUCAGCUCUUUCAAUUCAGCGGGUGCCAUCCUAUAGGGCGCUUUAGAAAUAGGGGUAGUCCCAGGGACAAGAUCUAUCACAAACUCAACCUCCCUAUCAGGUAGCAUGCCCGGCAAUUCAGCUGGAAACACAUCCCCGAAUUCUCGCACAACCGGGAUAUCAUCAAUCUUGACGGCUUCUCCGUCACUCACAGAAAUGCUAGCCAAAUAGGCUACACAUCCUCUUCGUAUCAACUGUCGUGCUCGCAAAGAGCUAAUGGUCAUUGCGAACAAUGAACUCUGACACCCCUUAUAAACAAACUCUUGCUGACCCGGUUCUCUAAAGGUUACCGUUCUGUUCGUGCAAUCUAUGGUGGCAUAAUACUGUGUCAACCAAUCCAUACCCAAUACUACAUCAAACUCACCUAGUUUGUGUAGUGCCAAUAAAUCCACUGGCAUAAUCCAGUCGCCUACCCUAACUGGGCAGCGAGGGCAAAACUCACGAACAUCUAGGGUAUGGUCAGGUACAAUCACUCGUCCCAGAUGCAAAGUAGGUGCUAAAGGAAUGCUAUGCAACUCGGCGAACUGCCGAUCAAUAAAAGAAUGCGAAGCACCAGUAUCAAAUAAUGCACGAACACGAAUAUCAUAAAGCAUAAUAAUACCUGCUACGACCUCCUGUGCUGCUGCGGCGCCCUCGGUCUGGGCGGCAUACAUCCGCCCACUCGAACCCUGCUGCGAACUCUCCGACUGCCGCUGUCCUGGUGGUCGCCUAGACUGAUAAGGCGCUGUCGGGGUCCCCUGGCUCGGAGCUGAAGAUGCAGGUGCAGUCGCUGACGAGGGUGCAGGCAAAGAACCUCUCGGGCACUCUGAACGAAAGUGGCCCUCCUGGCCGCAAAGAAAGCACCUGCCCCCACGCUGUGGACACUGUGGCGGUACGUGAGGCCCACCACAGAUAACACAACGCGGCGGUCGACGACGCUCGGGUGCUCCACGGGGUGCUGAAGAACCUCGACCCCUCGACUGUCCUGACUGUCCCCUCGGAUACUUUGGCGGUCUCCUGAAGGACUGCUGACCACUGCUCUCAGCUGCUGGUCUCUUGCCUUUGCUUCGAUCCACAACAUCUCUUUCCUUCAUGAUUUCUGCCCCCUUCUCAACAAUCAAAGCCCGGUUCACGACGUCCCGGUAAGUGGAGAGGUUUGACGCCUGGACCAAUCUGAAGAUCGCAGGUCGCAAACCCACCUCAAAAAUGCGAGCCUUGUCCUCAUCAUCUCGAACUACAAAAGGAACACAGUGCAGUAAUCGGGAGAACUCUCGCUCAUACUCUGCCACUGUCCUGUCCCCCUGCCUCAGGUUUCUCAGAUCCCUUUCCAUCUGUCUCUUUACACUCUGAGGAAAGUAAGUAGUCAACAACAGUUCCUUGAACCUGUUCCACGUAAUAGCAGACAAAUCAGCACGGGGAUCCUCCCGGAUGUCCACCCACCACCUGUAAGCCUCGCCAUCAAGGUGGUGUGUCGCAAACCAAACUCGGUACCGCUCCUCAACAAAAGUGUCAUAGAAUAGUUUCUCCAUAUGCAUUAACCAUUUUUCAACCACCCAAUGAUCUGCUUUCUCCCCAUCAAAGACACGAGGGUUGCAGCGACGGAAUUCAUUCAGUCGUUCCAUCAUCCGCUCUCGCUCCUCAACCCCCACCAUCUCGGGUAACACUGUCCCAGCUGCUGCUACAGGUACUGGUGGUGGUACUACUGUCUCCUGUCGGGUCUCUGCCCUCGGAGCUACUGGGGGUGUGUCAAGUACAGGUGACUGUGCUCUCACUGUGGUGCCCCUCUCUGGUGCUGUAGGUACAGAAUCUGGAAGUACAGAAUCUGGAAUCUCUCUGUCAGUCGUCUGCCGCAGUAACAGAUCCUCUAACCUCUUCAUCCUGUCCUCCUGUCGACGCGCAGCAUCCAUCUGCUGUCGUGCUGCCGCAGCCUGCUGAGUAACCAAAUCUGUCAACAUCGCAAGCUGAUCCUGCAACUCAUGGAUCCCACUAGAUCCCGACGUAACAGAAGUUCCCACUUCCUCUGCAUCCGCCGCCUCAGCUGCCCCGGCGGCUUGCGAACGAGUCAACGGCAUCUUAAACUGCAGCACAAAAAUAAACAUAGGUAAAUAAACCCUAUACUAUUGAAUCCUCAUUGAGGAUAUAAACCAGCUAAUCAAGCGAAAGUAAUGAAAUGUAACACGUACUAACUUCCGAGGUCACGUUGUCGGCCGCCAACGUGACCCUCUGCAAAGUGAGUACUUGCACAUCCCAAUCAAACUCCCACCAAAUGGAGUUUAUAAGUACCCAAUCAAAGCACUUUCGCUAACAACAACCUAGACUAGACAUCGUCUCUUACGUGCCUAUUCUUAUAGUCCAACCAGCCUAAGGUUUGCUAGGUCUACUAAGACUCAACCCUAGGCUCUGAUACUACUAUAAUCUGUCACGCCCAGGUACCAGCGGAAGCAUAUCCGGCACGUGCACAGACCCGCCAUACACCUGCAGUAUAUAAGGCGUCUACAAAGAAAGCAAGUUGAUAGGGAGUACAACAAAGAGAGUCCUAUCCUGAUAUCAGAGCAAUGUACAAGUCGAUAUACUAUCAGUAAAAGAACAAAGAGUACAUAAACCAAAGUCUCAGCAAAAGGAGAAAAAAGCAAAAACUAUAACAUCUGGAUCUACAACCUAUAUACAAUAUAGGGUAUACAAAUAUAUCUGUACAAAGGUAGUCACUCUAUAUAAUGGACAUCACCCUCGGCCGUAGCCCGAGUAGCAAGGUGAUCGACUAGCAUGCUCCUAGCAAAGUCUAGCUAGACGCGACUCCCUUGCCACGAUCCCUAGCCUCUCCUGUAGAUGGCUCUGUAAAAACAACCACCAAAAGGGCGUGAGAACUAUUAACAAUAGUUCCCAGUGGGUAAGCCGCCAGCCUCAGCGAAUUACACCACUAGGCUCAUGAUGUACUGAAAUAAAGAAAAGCAGUAACUGCAUGAUAUAUAAGUAUGCAAUGCUAACAGGUAGUGAGCAUCUAAUAUGCAUGUAAACAACUUGUAAUAAUAUGUAAUAGCUUUCUACAGUAAUGAAUCAUUUGCAUAAUAGGGAUAUGGCAAUCUCUGUAAUCAUGAACAUAGACGUGAAUAUGAGCACGAACAUGUAAGUGACUACUGUACACUUUAAUUAAUAAGCAUUCAUUACUGUCCUUUUUCAUUGAGUACUAUCCUUUCAUUCACAGGGACCUACCCAAGGUAGUCCAGCUUGCGCCGCGCCUAAUGGUCCCGUGGUAGUAUACACUCCCCACGGCAAUCCACUUCGGCACCCAAUCCCGCACGGGCGAGUAACUGUCGCGUAGGCCAACUCCGGAGUGCCGGCUUGUAGGGAGCUACCCUCACAAGCGUGUGUGAAUGAGCACGAUGGCAAGCAAGCAAAGUCCAUUGUCCACAUGUCCCAAUUUUCAUAUUUUCAUUGCAAAGUUCUUACUCUCGAUCCUCUGAUCGGAAUUUCAAUACACGAAUAGUAACAAGAGCUAGUAUCCACUAGAUUGUAAACAUGUAAAGGUAAAGCUAAAUCACAUGGCAUGAUAAUCUUUCCACUAGUAUGGCACUAUCAACAUAGUCAUGAGCAUGUCAUAGUUCUCUACGAUAGAGUCAAGAGAAUGUCAUUGUUCUCUACCUUAUAAGUGCAUUCUACACUUGUUCAUAAGUCAUUCAACUGAAUUGACUACAAAUAUAAAUACUUUCAUGUGUAAGUGUUCUCUACUUUGUAGAGACUUUAUUUCAAUUAUGUUCAACAUUAUGAUGACGAAUGUCAAGCCCCUUAUUAAUCACAUAAACACACAAGAAGACCAUUUCUAUAAUACAUAUAGAACAUAGGGGAAUUUCACUUGCUCUGGUUAGGUCCGACCCACCUAGUACUAGGCUCCAAAUCAACCAAGGAGUCCCAAAAAAUCAGAUCCACUAGGUCUCAACCCUGCUGAACACAAACAUCAACACCGCGUCAAAAGAACGACCGAAAAAUCCGAUUUCUGCCUAAAUUACACGUAAUACAAAGUAAUCCCUUAAAUCCCUGUUUUGGGACUAGUGUUAUACCUCAAGAUAAGUCUUCAAGAGCUCUCACAGGUCAACUAACGAUGAUCCAAGGCUCGAUCGCACUCUCGCUGCGAACAAAAUCAAAACAACAUCAAACUCGUCAUAUAUUAGCAAUUAUAGUCGGAAUCUUGCAAUUUCAACUUCCUAACUGAAAUUCUUACUUACCUUAGGGUAGAACAACUUCCAGACCAGCUUCAACGAGUACAAAUUCAGCUCAACGAAGCCCGAAGACCUGCUGCGAAGAAAUAAUCCCCAGUUGCAUCAAGUCGCUCCAAUAAUUGCAUUAAGUUCCGAUUUAGCUUCAUAAAUGGCUAAUUCUCUCAAUUAACCUUCAAAGAAGCUUAUCCCUAGUCUAAGGAGCUUAAUUCACAGCUAAAUAAUCCAACUUUAAUUGCUGAAAUCUCAGAGUAAAGCAACUAGAAGCAAUAACGCAAAAGCAACACAUAAACGACUACUCGAACGUUGAUAAUGGAGAAAAUCGAGUCGUUUACCUCUUCAAGCUUCCAACCAGCACCUCGCUGGUCCAGAGUUGCAAAGAACCUUCCAAAAUACUCUCUCACGCGUCCACGAAAGCUCUGCGACGCUCGCAAACAGCGAAGAACAAGCGCGGCGACGAAAACGAGCGAAAUCGUCGAAUUCUAUAUAGAGAGAGAAAAACCCUAGAGAGAGAAAGAGGAGAAGGUGAAGAAACCCUUUGCUGAGCUCUAGCACACUCCACUGAAGUCCCAGAGUCGUGCUGGGAUCAAAUAGAUAGGUAUCCAAUGUGAAAAGACCAAAAUAGCCUUGCUGCCAGAUUUCUGCCAGUCUGUACCGGUACAAGGUGAUGGCUGUACCGGUACAACAAGCAGAAAAAGGCUGAUUUCGCCUGUUUGAUGCAAUUUCUCACUUUUAGCCUUCCAAUCAUCCUCUAACUUAUCCAAAAACUUGUUCUAACCUUUUAGAACAUGUAGGAUUGAUCCACACACCAUUCCACAUACUCGAACUCCGCAAUUUGCAAAAGUCCAGUAUAUUACACAACCUCUACGGUCAACCUCGUAAAGGAGGUACCUACCUAUAAGGUCAAAUCAUAUAGGGCUGAUUCAGCUGACUUAUAAGGUCAAAACCCAACAGAUAAGUAACUACCAAUCUACUAUAUCAUAUCAUCAUCAGAUGCACUAGAAUGAAUGUAAUACACUGAACUUUAGCAAAUUGCGAGGUUCUAAUGUUCGAAUAGUAUUUGGCACUAUUUUGGGUAUGUUGGAGGGUCAUAGACUGUGUUCCGACCUGUUUACUCACAUCUUGAGAAGCAAGGAUGAGUACUUAGCACCAAAGCCUCCAAACUGCAGGUUUUGGGGUGUUGGGUACCGGUACCAGAGAGGGGUACCGGAACAACGUCGCGCAACAGAGAGAUGUGCUCUCGGGUUUGAGCUCUGCGAGGUAGAGUACCGGUACUACAUCACUCGAGUAUCGGUACUGGGGCUUGGUACCGGUACUACAUCGCGUGGGUACCGGUACCCUGCGUGUUGUUCGCUUGACAGAGGCUCAGGUUUGCACGUUCGGCUGCGGGGUACCGGUACUCCAGCCCGCGUACCGGUAUGUAGUGCAGUCCACAGGCUACAUGUUUUUUAGGGUCCUUUUUGGAAUUGUAGCAACACUUUAUAUAACCCCACACCUCUUGAGUGGCUUUUUUGUGCUGGAACUAGAGCAGAAGAGAGGUGAGUCUCCCCCUUCACCUCUCUCUGAUUUCUUCUCUUUUUUUGUGAGAUUUCAUGGGUUGACCUCUCCUUUUUGCUUCUUUUUGCUUCUUUUUGCUUGGUGAUGGUUCUUCUACCUUGGAGAAGCUUUGGAUUGAGGAUUGGAGCUUGUUUGAGGAAGGAUCUCCAACCCUAGCACCUUUUAGCUUGGUUUGGAGCUUGGGAAAAAGGUUAGUAACCUUUCUACUACAGUUGAUUGUGGUCUAUGCUUGGGUUUUGGAAGAAAACCUAGUUUUGAAAAAAUUAGGUUUUUAUUUCGGGGUUUUUGAUUUGUAACCUUUGGGGUGAAUUUGAUGAGUAUAGAACUAUCUUUUAGGUUGGAUUAGAAGCAUCCUAGCCUUCAUUUGGAUUUUGGAAGAGUUUUCUACCAUCUAAGGUAAUUUUCUAUCUAUUUAUGGGUUGGAUUAUGAGAAAUUUUUGGGUGUUCGUUUGAAGCUCCUAACCCUCUUGAAAUUUUUGUUAGGGAACUAAGAGACUUGUGGACAACUCCGUUCGCGCAAAUAAAGGGGGUUGUGAGGGGUAUUCGGUGGGUUUGACCUCACCGAAAUCGGUGAACUCCUCCUAUGUUAUAUUUUGUGGUUUAAAAUGGAAAAUCAUGCAUAUUCAUGCUAGAUAGGGCAUAAAUGAAUUUUUGAAUGUCUAAAAUACAUAUGUCAUGUAUCAUGUUUUGUAACCUCUACGUAGUAGAGAGAGAAAUGUAUCGUAAGUUGCAUGUGAGGUGGCAUUGUUAUACUAUGUUGGGAAUCAUGAUUUGUUUAGUAAAAUGACAAGCUUUUACAUGCUUAUGAACAAAGAACAUAUGCUAGACAUAGAGAACAUUAAUGUUAUAGAGUGGCAUUCGACUUAGUAAACGGUUAAAUCUUUAUACUGUGACAUAGAGUUAUACCUUUGGGUUGCUAGUACUUGUACCAUAUUUUAGACAUGACGAUUGUGGAAUUGAGAUGGAUGAUUAUACUUGCUUGCCAUUGUGCUUAUUCGCACAUACUUUUGAGGGUUGCUCCCCACAAGCCAGCACUCUGGAGUUGGCCUACGCGACAUAUGCUCGUCCAUGCGGGAUUGGGUGCCUACUGGGUCGCCGUAGGAUAGUCACAUUCUUAGAGGGAAAUGCUGGACUAUCAGGGGCCAUUAAGCAACACAAGCCGGACUACGCUUGUGUAGAUCCCUAAUUGGCUCAUGAUUGGUAACAAUGUCGUUGAUUUUUCAAUUUCCAAAACGAUCAAUUUUAGCUUUGCAUUUAAUUUGUUUCUCAGGUGGUAAUAACUAGCAUGCAAAUUGCAAACAAGCUUCUUCUAAUUGGCAGUUAUCAGAAAAUAAAGGUACAAUUUAAUUUUCAUUGUUAUGUUGCUUUUUUUAAGACAUUUCGGUGCAUUAUAAAUAGAGGUUUGUACCGCAUUAGCAAAUUAGUUCUGUAUUUGAGAUCAGGGUUCUAUGUUGAUCAACGAAAGCUUAAAAUUAUUCUUCUCCAUAAAGUUGAUUGCAUUCAACUUACUAUGACAUCACAUCGCUUGAUCAUUGUAACUUUAACACUGGUCAUGUCUAGGUAACAACAAGCUCUCUUUAUUUUGUUGUUUGGAUCUACUAAUUUACUACUUUUGAUAUGAUCUUCUUUGGUGAUGUAAUAGUUCCUGACAACCAAAUGCCAAAAUUAUAGCUGAUAUUGAGGAUUUUCUAUUUUUUUUUUAAAUUACAUUUCUUCAGUUUCAGAUGGCACUACAACAUUUUGUAUUAAAGGUGGCUUUUAUCGGUACCUAUAGCGGCUUUUAGAAAAGCCGCAACAAAAGUACCGAUUUUUCUGAAAAAGCCACAAAAAAAGCCAGUGAAAACUAAGUCGGUAUAGGUCUAUGUCAAUAUAACGGCAUAUUGCGAAAGCCGCAUUUUAGUGCCUAUAGUGGCUUUUUGAAAGCCACUAUCAGCAUUCAAACUAUUGUACUAUUUUAGCCGUCUUUGAUUAUCUAUAGUGGCUUUUUGCCAAAAUACUGCAAUUUCUACAGUUUUUAAGAGCUACGGCAAUUGAAAAGCCGCCUUUUAUUAGUAUAGCGGUAUUUGGUGUGCCACAAUGCGAUAGUUUUUGUGGCUUUUCAAUGCUGUUAAUAAAAUUAUGUUGUGGCUUUUUGGAAGCUGUUAAUAUGCAUAUACAAUGACUUUUUAUAAAGCUACUAUUGAUCGAAAUAUAUGGACUUUUGAAUAUGUAUAUUAGCUAGGAAUAGUUGUAUGAAAGAUACAAUACAAAAAUGAUAUAUUCAUAGCAAAAAAGUUGUUUUAUUUAUAUAUAAGUCAAGAGUAUCGAAUGAAACCAAAAUACUAAUUGUUUCUUACAUACUCAACAUUAAUAAAAUGAUAAAAAAUUAUAAUAUCAAAAAAUAGUUUUUUAGAAAUGACACAGUUGCUCAAAACAUAAAAUGAUGCUAUGAAUAUAUCAUUUUUGUAUUGUNCUUACAUCCUCAACAUUAAUAAAAUGAUAAAAAAUUAUAAUAUCAAAAAAUAGUUUUUUAGAAAUGACACAGUUGCUCAAAACAUAAAAUGAUGCUAAAGGUCAUAGUAGGUCCAAAUACAAAAGAAAUGAUCAAGUAUCACUGGAAGGAUUUGAUAAUACUGACGUAUAGCAAGUGCCUGAAGACUCAAGAUUCUGUAACAAAAAUAAAAACUUCUUUCAAUAAAAUAAGAAUAUAGUUAAUAAUUAAAAUAUAAUGAUAAAAUCGAUAAAAUUAUCUAGAUAAAGUCAUUUUUCCUACCUGUCGACUGCCACCAAGGUUACAAUCUGGCAUUUUUUGUCUUAUAAAUUCCAUAACGUCAGCUAAUUGUGACUGCAGUUGGGAAACCAUUUUUUUACUCUCUUGCACUUCCUCUCUUAACUUUUGUACUUCUUCCGUUGAUUCCAAGUUAUAACACACACAAUGUUCAGAUGGGAUCAAUCCUAGCCCUCUUACUCGGCUGUCAUACUCUGUCACGCCCCGGGACCCAGCGGAAGCCCGCCCGGCGCGUGCCCAGACCUGCCAUACGUCUAAAACGUAUAAGGCGUCUAGAAACAACAAUAAUAAAAGCAAUAAUAAAAGACAUCUAGGAGUAUCAGAGCAAUAUAAAUGUCUAAAAGCUACAAUAAGGGUAAGGAUAAAACUGUAAAUCCACUAAAUAAAACAUAAAGUAAGUACAAAAGAAAAUCCCAAAUACAAGUGCUAAAAGUAGGUACAUAGGUGGUCUCUAUACAUGAAUACAAAAAUCUCUCUCUCUCUCAACUACAAAAAGAAAGAGUAAACCACCUAGGCAAAGUACCGCUGCUAGCUAGCUAAGCGAUCCCCUUGCCGCGAUCCCGUGCCUCCGCCGGUGCCGAAGGCUCUGAAAAGUGAACCAUAAAACAGGGGCGUGAGAACUAUUAAAAAUAGUUCCCAGUGGGCAAUUACUGACUUCAGUGAACUGCGCCACAAGGCCCAAAAGCUACAAGAAAAGGUCAGUGACUAACAAUGUAAUAAUUAAACGGUAAGUGAAAUAUAACCUACUAUAACAUAGAGUCUCCACUUAGCAUGAUUUGCAUAAGUAAUAAAUCAACUAUAACAUGAAUGUACAUGGAUGUGUAAGACAUGCAUAAGCGUAGAAAUGCAACCAAUCCAAUGUCCUCAAUGCAAAGAUAGUAAAAAUGUCGUCGUUUACUAUUCUAGUCCAAGUCCACUUUAAUAGUUUUAAAGUUCACAUAGCAUGUUCUGUCACUAAGUCCCAAUCAUAUAAGACCCACCCGAAGGCUGUCUGGCCUGCGCCGUGCCUAAUGGCCCCGUGGUAGUCAACAUCCCCACUCUAGGGAUGAGCCUCCCCCACGGCGAUCCACUUCGGCGCCCAAUCCCGCACGGCGAGCAUGUGUCGCGAUGGCUAUCUCCGGAGUGCCGGCUUGUAGGGAGCGACCCUCACAAGCAUGUGCGAAUGAGCACAAAUGGCAAGCAAGCAAUGAUCUGUCUCAAGUACCAAGUCCUCAUGUCUAAAACAUGGAAUAUGUCAAGUACCACGAUGGCCUAUCUCUAUGUCGUCAUGUCUCUAACAUGGAAUAUAGCAGAUACGUAAUGGCCUAUCAAUAUGUCUCUAUGUUGCAGUUUAAAUGUUUACUAGUUCCAAGUGCCUCUUGAUGACCCUUUUUGCUACUAAGUUCAAACAUAGUAUAAUGUUUCCCAUACAUGAACAUAAGCUAAAUUAGCAUACUAGACGAGAAUCCCAUUCGUCCACAUGAACCCACCCCACAUGCAUGACAAUAACCUUGAUUACUCUACCAUCUAGAGUGAAAUUUAACUUACACAUAGGGCAUGCAUUUUAGGGGUUCUAAAUUUCACAUAAAUUCCAAUUAGCAUAGGAAAGCAUUUAAAAAUAAGUUACGAAUAGUUUAGAAUGCACAGGGGCCAUUUCGCCCCAUUUCCAUGAAGUCAAACCCACCGAUGACGACGAAACUCCUCGUUCGCUCCAACGAGGGUGUCCCCUAGUCUCCUAGUAUCCUAGAGGUAUAGAAACAUGUGUCAAACAAGGCUCACGAACAAAGCUAAGCUCAAACAUUAAGCUUCUCUAGCUAGGUUGGAGAAAACUCACCGAAAGCUAAAGAAUCUCUCUCGAUCUCAAAAAGGGAGUUAGAUUCCUUCAAAUCCAACCUAAAUCAAAGUUCUAAACCAAUCAAUUUGGUUCUAGAAGCUACAAAUCAAAAAUCCCCAUUUUUAGCCCUAAAACUCAAAAUCUAGGGUUUCAUCUAGUAGAAGAUAUUAAAACUUGAUCCAAAAGGGAGAUUUAGCUUACUAACCUCACAAGAUGCCCAAAACCAAGUUCUAAGCCAAGUGGAGUUGAAGUUUGAUCCUCCAACAAGCUCCAACCAAGAUCUCAACCUUCUCCAAUGGUGGAAAUCCCAAAAAAAGCAAGAAGGAGAAGAAAAGAGAGAUCAAAACCACUAAAAACCCACCAAAAAAAGAGAUCAAAUCAAGAGGGGAAGACUCACCUUGCUCUCCUCUGGUUAGGGCUCAAAAAGAGCAGCAAAGGGGCUGGGGUAGUUUAUAAAGAGUAUUGCAACAAUUGCAAAAAGACCCCUCCACGAAAUCUGCCCAGAGGCAUUGUGUACCGGUACACGGGAAAGUGUACCGGUACACUUCCUGCGAAACAGCCCAACCCGAGCCUCGGGUUGGCAGAAAAUCUAAUGUGUACCGGUACAACCAUCAAGUCGUACCGGUACAAAUUCUGUACCGGUACAACCAUCAAGGCUGUACCGGUACACAGCCUGGCUGAGGCUAAUCAGAGAGUACUCCAACAAUCCAACCUUUUGGGAUUUUGGUACAGGUUUAAACCCUCAAUUCUCAGGAUGCGAGCCAUAGAUCGGAACGCUGUCUACGAUCCUUCAGAAAGUCUGAGAUGGCUCGACACACAGAUCAAACACUCGAACCUCGCAAUUUGCAAAGGUCCAGUGUGCUACAUACUCUUUUCUUAUGACUUCGAUAUAAAUUUUGUUUUCCAUUGUAAUCACAUCCUCUCGAGAAGAUUCAGAUGUUCCAGAGCAAUUAGCCAAUUUGUCUUUAGCAUCAACCUAACAAUAAAUUUUGUUAACAAAUUUAUAGAAAGCAUCAAUUUAGACAAUAUGAGAGGACAAGUUUCCUUUAGCAUUUUAUGAUCAAAAGUAUAGAAAGCAUCAACUUACAAUAGCAAUACAAAGAAAGUUGUAACAACCUAUCAUUUAUUCAAGGGUUUUGGAAAGCUUUUAUAUUCCAUAAUUAUGAAAGAUAAAAAACCAUCAGCAACAUUCCCAUCGACUAUCCAAGAGCUCUAUAAUAUUUCAUGGUUAGGAAUUUAAAUUAAGAAAAUAACAAUGAUUUGACCUAUAGACUAAAAUGUUGCAUAGAACUAUACUAAAAGAAUCCAUUAACUUAGACAUGCUAUCUAGCUAGGUUAUAGACAUAUAGUAAAUAUAGAGUUGAAAGCUAACAAACAGAGUAGUAAAAUUACCAUUAAUUUUUUCGCAUUGUCACUUAUAAAUGAUCUAUUUUUUUUCGUGUGAGUUAGUUCGAACAUCUCAACAAGUCUAGGUACUCUGCCAGUUGUAUCUUCCUGCAAAUAUCAUAAUGUAGACAAGUAUAAGAAUGUUGCAAUAACAUAAGUUUUACAACAAUCAAUAAAAUAAAUAGUUACAAUUUCUUUCUCUUUUCGUGCAAAGCUUUUGGAUCCUGAUGUAUGUGUGUAUUUCUGUUUGGCUCGACUUUCUUUGUAAGGACCGAGAUUUUUGCAAUGUAGCUAAACUCUCAGUUGAUGAUGUUUUUGUGUGUAAUUUAAUUACAAAAGCACUCGUCAAGUUUCGGGAGAAACGAGUUAAAACGGAGAUUUUACGCGAUUUUCAAGUUUCACUUAAAGUGAAUAGUAACUCAGUUUUCCGGAGAAGACACGGUGCGAAGUUGGCUUCUAGUGCGUAUCGGACUCCGUUCAUAGCAGUCCAAUAGCUCGUUUCGACCGGUUCAGCUAUUCUAGAACUGAUGACGCUGACGGAUUUUGAGUUUGAUGCACGGAUUUUGAGAAAAUCUAAAAAUACGUGUUUUAUAUGUAUUUGUGCGUAGUUCUUCUGUUGGAGAGAUGGAUCGGAUUUCGUUGCGAAUCCGCGAUGGAUCGAGGCGAAACGAAAUUGUAGCUUUGUUGUCUCUAUUGUACUGAUCACACUGGUACGAUCCGUUCGCAAAUCUGACGGACGGAUCUACGGAGAUUGUGCAUUGAUCGAGGAGAGGUUGGUGAUGGCAAAACGGUAUUUUCGUAAAAAGUGCGACAUUUUAUGUACCGUUUUACGUGAGAUCGCACGUGGAGGGGUAUUCUCGCGUUUUACACGCGCUGUAAGGGACUUAGUACCAAAUACUGAAGUUUGAGGGGCUUUUUCGCAAUUUGCACCUUAUAUAUAUAUAGUGUAUCUAGGGUUUUCUACCUUGAAAUCCUAACCCUAGACCCUAGCCGCACCUUGCCAUCUUCUACUCCCUCCUCUGACUGCACAGUGCGCUCCCCAGCCGCCGGCGCACGCUGCCGGUCGCCGAAGAAUGAGGUUCCAUCUCCCUCUCCAUCUCUCUCUCCAUCUCUCUCUCUUUUCUUCUCGGGUUGGAGCCCUAGUCGAGGCUGCAUUGCCUCCCUAUUCCCUGCCGGCGUCGCCCUGACCCUAUCGGAGCUUCCCCCGACCAGUCGCUGCCGCCUGCCGCCGUCGCCUGCGCCGCCGCUGCUGGUUCUGCAAUCUGCGGCCGCCCCAGCCCGAGCUCGGGCUGAGGCUUGUGUGCGGCCUCCCCCUUGCGUCGCCGCCGCCCCGGACCAACCGUGAGGCACCUCCCCGACCUCAGGCCGUCGGCCGCUGCCGCCCCGAGCCGCCCAGUGCGCCGCCGCCGCCACCUCGGCCAGCCCUCAGCCGUCCCUGUCUGCUCGGGCCGAGGCAAGCCUGCGGCUUCCUCCUCGCGCCACUGCCGCCUGGGACCACCCGUUCCGCCUGCUGCCGACCUUGGGUGAUCCUCCUCCGCCGUCUCGGAGCUCCCCGGCCGCCGCCGUGGCCGCUUGUACCCGCGAAACCCGAGCUUUAGCUCGUGCGGGCUCAAGUCUCUCCGCCGUCACCGCCGCCGCUUCUCGCCGCCAACUGAGGUGAGCAUCGUGUUCCUCACCUCCCCCACAUCCAUCCCUGACCCGCACGCAUGCCGCAAUGCCGCCGGAAGCCGGCCGGAGAGGGCUUGCUCCGGCCAAGCCCGAAAUAGGGCUUAUUUGAGUGGGUUUAUUGUUCUGAGCUUCUUGAGCUUCCCUGAUCUCUGCGGAAGGGAGCACGAUGAUUGUAGCAAAUUGCUGAUCAUCGUGCUCACCUUAAAUUCUGUCGGGGAGACUCCGUUCCGCUGUUUCUGCGGUGUCGACCCGAUUGAGCCUUUUCGAUUGAUGUUCCAUGCUUGCGCGCGUUUUUUCGGCGAUCCGAGGCUGUUCCGAUGCCUCCGGAGGUGAGCACGGUGAUCGAUGGUUAGUGCUGAUCACAGUGCUCACCUCACUUUGGAUCAACAUUGUCCGGUUAGCCCUGUUUGGCGCGAUCUUCCCCGACUGCGCGCUGUUCACAGAACUUCGGGUUGCUCCCGUGCCUCCUACAGUGAGCCGAUGUGCUCCGGACUAUGAGCAUGGCCUCCGGCACAUCGAGACAUGUCAAUACAUGUCUCGGUGGAACUUAGAAGUCCUCGGUUUGCGUGAACGAGCUAUUUUAUUGCCCGAUUUACAUAAAAUAUUGGGGAAGAAGGUAACUCGUGACACGAGUCGGUGAGUUUCGGGACACUUAGUGAGUCCCGACGACGUCCCAGUGUGGUUUUCGGGACUUCCGGCGAGUUACGGUAUUCGAUAUCCGAUCUUCGUGAAAUUGUUUGUGGGGUUGUGGUUACUGUGGUUCUUAGUGGUGGGUUAGAUACUAACCCGGUGGACCCUCUAUAGGUCCUGUCGACAUUCUUUUGCAGUCAGGAGACAAACGCGACAUCCUUACAGGUGGGUACUUCGAUCCGACGUCGGUACAAUGGUGCACGCUUGGUGAUGGUUUCUUACCCUUACUCUUCUGUUGUUACUAUCGCAUAGUAUAUUGAGCCUUGCACCCUUGUUUAUUCGUUAUACUCUACUCGUUGUUUGCAUGCUUAGUAUCCUGAGUAUGAGUAGAGUAGUUCUAUCUACAUGCAUAUCUGUUGACCUAGUUGGUCUGUUGUCGCAUUCCGUAUUCUUUGACCUAGUUGGUCGAUUGUUGCAUUCCGUAUCUGUUGAUCUAGUUGGUUGGUUGUGCAUUCCGUAUCUGUUGACCUGGUUGGUCAGUUCUCGUACUUCGUAUCAGGGACCUUGUUGGUCAGUUGGACUCUGUGGACCUUGGGUCGAGGCAACACAUCGACUCUCUUGUCAUGUGUUUUGAUCUGGUUGAUCGUGGUUUAGCGUUGUACGCCCUUGUUUCUGGCUUCGGCCUAGGCACCGGCUUCAGUCGGGUUUUGUAUUGAGCAUACCAGCAUGACUUAGUCACAGCACUUGGGGGUGUUCACGACACCGGGUCGGUUUGGCCACCGACCGGAGGUGUGCUUAUCCGGAUGGAUCGUCCUGUGGGGCAGGUGAAUCAGGUCGGUGCAGGUUAGUGAUAGGCAGCGCUUGAGGUAUGCGGACCAAUAUAGCAGGUACCAGAUUGGGUAUAUUUGGACUUCUUGUCCGGUUGACGCAUAUGACUAUAGUAGCGGUUGUUGCAUGUAUACUUACCGUUCCUUCUUUACAGUUGUCUUACUACUAUAGUUUUGUUGCAUAUAUACAUUCAGUUGUUCAUUACAGUAGCAGUAGUUGUACUUCUUUCAUAUAUAUGUCUCUUUCAUUCAUUAUUAUUGCUACUGUAUUUCUACUGACCCGUACUGUUGUUUAGCUCUUCCUAAUCCGGUGAGUACUCUUCGCCUUCAUCGGCUUGCGGUACCCACUGGGAGGGAAGACAUGUUUACAUGUUCUCACCUUCCCCACCAUUUUUCAGGUAUUGCGGGCGGUGAGAGUCGAGACGAGAUGUGAGACACGUUCGUAGCGGUCGAUAGAGCUUCCGACCCAGGUUAUUCGGUUUAGUUUUUACCCUUACUAUUAUGUUGAUAUAGCUCAGAUAGUUUAUAUGGUUCAGUAUUUUUAUUACAUUUGAAAAUGUGGGUUUUCAUGAAUGUAAUAAAGGGAUUUGUGAAAUUUAUGAAAAGAAAAAUAGUUUUCUACCCCUCGUGAUAGCGCGUUUUAAAAGAAAAGGUUUCCGUAUGGGGAACAGCUUUCAAAAGAGUUUUCUUAUGGUUUUUAUGUUUAAACACUAAAUAAUAAAUAUUUGGUGAAUGGUGAAUGAAUGUUGUGUAUUGUAUAUUCAUGUAGUGUGGUUGUAUCUUGGUUAUACUCUGUUUGAAAAUUUUGUACUUGUGCGACGCCGUGCAAAUACAGGGGAGACUCUGUCCGUGUGAACAGUGAACUCCCUGUAUUUGUGGCGGGUCUGGCAUACCCUGGGGUCAGGUUUUCAAAAAAAAAAAAAAAUUUCCGCUAUGUUUUAACCUAAAAGGGACCCCGGGGCGUGACAUUCUUUGGCUAACUUCUCUCGUUUCUCCCAUUUAAAAGAUAAUAAAAAAUUAGUCAACAGUACAUCCAUACUAGAAAUUUCAUAGUAAUUAAAGGAAAAAAGCAUAGUAAUGCCAUAUUUGGUCAAUAAUACUUACUCUACCAAUCAAGUAUUCCUCCACACCACCACAUACAACAUCAUAGCAACAAACCAUUACAUAAGAAAUAGGGCUUACUUGUGAAGCUAGGAACAAGGAUGCAAACUAUUCUCGUAUUUCUACCACCCAUGCAUGAGACACUUGUAAUGAUUGAAAUGAAAAAUAAUUGAACCUUGAUAAAGAAAGAACUAAAAAUUAAUGAGCUUAUAUUGGACUUGGUUACAUGGAAAGUGCGUUCGACGAUUGCAGCAUUGACCAAGGAUCCGAGGAAAGCAAGGGCAAAAGCUAGCAUGAACAUAUAGUGUGUCAUGUUUAAGAUUUGAAACAAUAGAACUAAUUGAUAUAGAAAAGAUAAAUGAAGAAGAUGAUGACUUCUUUCUUAGAUAAUUGUAUCUUGGUGUGGCACAAACCAUUAGUUAUCUUUAUAUAGAUCCUUGAAAUGCAUACUGAUAAGGAAACAAUAAGAUAUAUAAACAACGCAUAAAGAAGUAGUUGAUCACAUUUUCGGCAUUUAGAAUCAUUAGAUACCGAACUGAUUUGAAAUUCCAAACUAAUUAAUAAUUUUGACCAUUCUUCAAAGGUGUAUUUAUCUAACAAACAUAGGGAGUAAUAUACGCAAAAGAUCGUAAAACCUCUCUUAGUAACACCUCCACCCAUCCUUUAUUCCUGCGAAGCCACCAUUAGUUUAAAAACCCAAAAAAGCAAACCCCACACAAAACUACAACUUCACUAUCAGUUAAGUAACCAACAUGCACCGAUAGUAGAUAGUAGAAGCAGUAGUAGUAGCUAAAUAUCCUUUGUUAUUCUCAUCUGUUUUUCUUCAUGUACGUUCAACGUGCAUGUGUUAAAAGUAUCUGGUUGGUAGUAGAUAGUAGAAGUAGUAGUAAUAGCUGUAACUUAAUUAAUUGCUGAAACCAUUAGUAGUAGUAGUAGUAGUAGUAGAACUAUAGUAGUAGGUACUAAGAGGGCCUAUUUUAUAAUAUUUUUCCUGCCACAGAACAUAAUAAUAAGCANAUCUUUUUUUUCCUAAUAUUUUUCCUGCCACAGAACAUAAUAAUAAGCAUCAUUAGAGCUCUCAUAGCUAGGUUAUCAUUUGAUUGAGAGAAUGAGAAAAAAAACACAAAAACAAAAACAAAAAACAAACUAAUGGUGCUGUUAUUUCCAAGUAGAGAUUACAAUGUCUUUUUCGUGUGGAUUCGAUAGAUUGUUAUUUCCUACUAAUUCCAUCGUGCCUUUGGACUAAUUUAUUAAGUAGGUAAAUCUCCUUGUAAGUAGCCUAUGGUACGUAAUCAUGUGAAUUUUAUUUGGUCCUUGAGGUAAUAGCAAAUUAAUUGAAAACGUAUUAAGAAAAGAAAUUAUCUGAAAUGGAUUGUGAAUUUACUAUUCUCCUUUUUCUUUGUCUUCUUCUCUCUCAUACAUCGAUCAUUAAAAGUCAACCAGAGUAUAGAAAGCAUUAUCUAGAAAUAAAGCAUUGACACCAUUACAUGACAAAAAUAAAUCAUACCUUGGCAACAUCAGAGUAUAAAAAGUCAACCAGGCUCAACCAUUGCUGCUUUGCUACACCAGGAGGCACAUUCUUACUAAUCUCUUCUUUUGGUUUUAUUCGGUCAAAAUGCUUGGCCUUCAAUUCAACUUUGUAGUCUUUCCAUUUCUUGUUUAAAGAUCUCAUGACAAAGGCUCACCCUUUCUUUGAUUGAAAUUGAAAUUUUGACUGCAAUGAAAAUAUACACAAAAUUAAAAAAUAUAUAUAUAAUAAGAUGGUUAUAUAAACAUAUGUAAACAGUGUAAAAUGUGUCAAAUACCAUGGCAAAAGACAAAGCUUCAUUUUUUAGUGAAUUGGCAUUCGUCUCCAAUUAAUAUAGUUUAGAGGGCAGAAUUGACCAUUUCGUGCAACUAUUCUGCAAAAACCAACGAGCAACCUUGCCUCCUUAUUUAUGGGUUUCCCUCUUUUGUUAAAUCGAACUUGAAUACGCCAAUUCUCAUCCAUUUCCCAUAUCUCCUUUAAUGUUGUACGACCUCUCUUUCUUUCUCUUUUUCCAUCGUCAUGACUACAAAAAAGUCAAUGCUAUAAUUAGACUUUAAUUACAUAUAGCUUAGCUUGAUAGAAAUAGUGUCAUCAAAGUAAAAUGACCCACAAAAAGAAAGAUAUAAGAUAAUACAAAAAUUCUAGGGAGAAGAAUCUAUGAAAAUCCUGCAAAGGCAUAUUGUAUUCCAAUCAACAGCAUAUGAACCGUUGCAUUCCAAUCAACAGUUUCAUUAUUUCAGACCUAAAACUCCUUAACAAGUAUCCUAAUCGAGAAUCUGAUUUUUAUUAUUCUGAUGUUGUGUCAAAGAUAACUUAUAGUAGACAACUAGAGAUAGAAAAUCACUCAAAACUGUUCAUACUGGUCCACACAUUCACAUUACCGAAAAGAAACCAUUUCCAUUUAAUUAGGAGCAAAAUAUCAAUUGUUUUCAACUAGGAGAUCAUGAAGCGAUCUCAGUAUUCAGGAAAGUAGGUGUUAACACACUUGUAAGGUACCGGACUUUUAAAACUACGAAGUUACGGUGUACAUUUAAAUGGUUCCGGUGAGGUUGCGAUGGAAUGUAACAUACCGGAUUUUGAGUAUAAAGGUGAAAAUAAAUAAAAAUAGUAUGAGAUACUAUUUUAUUGGGUUUAGAGAAGUGAAAUAUAGAUUGGAAAUGACCUGUGCUGAAAUCGGAGCGAAAACAGAAGAUUUAGAAUUUUCUGUGAGAAACGGGGCAGAUAAAUUAGCAGAAAAUGCACAGUGUCAGAAAAUUAUGAAAACUGUAGGAUAUGUCAGAAAUAUUUUUAUGAGGCUAGAUUUAAAGUUUCAUACCAUUCUGACACCCGUAGAGUGAGAAAUCAAAUCCGACAGUUAUCUGAUUAAGAUUACAGUUCGGCACAGUUUUCGGUGACCAAACGGGGUCGAAACUGAGAACUUAAGAUAUAUCCUUACUCAGCACGUUAAACUGAGCCUGCCUGUCAAAUUUGAGCUCAAACGGACAUUCAGAAGGGCUCCAACGAAACUUAUCAGAUUAGGGACUAAACUGGAAGGUUGAAUAGUUGAGGGGCUAACUUGUAAAAAGGGAUUAAAUCCCUUUCUUCUCCUUCCUCAGCCGAAUGCAACCCGCACACACACACAACACACACGCAUACAUGGAAAGGAAGAGAGAGAAAACUUUUUUUCUUCUCUAGAUCUCUCCAAAAUGAAUGGAUUGGUGGAGAUGAAAUUGGAGUGGAUGUCUUCAUCUUCUUCAUCUUCUCAUGGUUUUGGAGUUAGUUUGAGAGGUAAUCUUCGAUGCCCUUUAUGGUGAAUUGUAGGGCUUCAAUUAUACUCUUCUAAAUAUGGAUUUAUUGAGAUCUAUGAUGUAAUAGAUGAUUGUUGCCUUAAAUACACGAUCAAUUUAAUGAUUUAUUGGAGUAGUUUGAGAGGUAAUCUUCCGAUGCCCUUUAAUGGUAGAAUUGUAGGGCUUCAUUAUAUACUCUAAAAUGGAUUUAUUGGAUCCUAUGAUGCUUAAUAGAUAUUGUUGCUUAAAUCAGCCGAUCAAAUUUAAUGAUUUCUUGCCUAGUUAUAACCUAAGCUUCUAAAAUGCAAAUUUUGCUAUUAGUAGGCGUUUGAUCUCGUUUGACCUCCGUAACCUAAUUGAUAGAGUAAACGAACACGUUGGCGAAGACGGUUCGGCGAUUCGUCGAGCGGUGCGAAGUUAUUAAAGAAGGACGUUUAGGCUUCAUAUUUCCGCCUGGAGGGCCGAGGCGACGUCGUAAAUCAUGGAAUCGGAUUUGAGGCACGUAAAACAAAACGGAAGACCCUUUUGCCCGAGGCCUACGAUUCGAUGGCGGGUUGAGUGCGCAAUUGCAAGUUCGGACGGAACACCGAGAUGCCGCGGGAGGCCGAUUGCAAGCUAUCGACAAAGCAAUCGGAAUGCCACUACAGGUGGGUAAUGUGCUUACCGAAGCCGGACGUAGGUCGCCUUCAUGUCGAGAAAAUAUGAUUUACCUAGUUAUGAUUAAUGGUGUUAAAUGGCUAUUAUGAUGCAUAUAAUGUAAUUGCUAGAUGUUGCAUAUAAUGUAAAUGCAUGAUGACAUGAGGCAUAUAUUAUAUGAUGUUGACAUAUCAUGAGAGGCUAGUUAACAUAUAUAUACAUGAUAGGGUAUUGGAUAGCUGCAUUUCUGUUCUUGCAUGAUCCUUAGUAGUGUAGCAACAUGAGUUGAUAUUUGAGUCAGGAUGCAUGAGAAUAGAGGAAUGGUGACCUAGAACCCUUUAGAGAUAAGUUAAAUAAUAACUUAAUCUUGCACUGUUGAAUAUGAUGAUAUAUGACUAAAUAGUCGAGGUAUUACAUUGUGACGAGUGGGAUACAACCAAGUAAACAACUUGACGAGUGCCAUUAGAACUUAGUGUUAAAAGAACACCUGUGCAUGAUGGUCCUAGUGACAAGAUAUUCUCGUUGGACACAGAACUGAUCAUACUCAUUGUCUGUUCCCAGCUUGUGAUGGUCGCUCCACACAAGUAGUGCGCUCCGGAGUUCGUCACGUGGGAUAGCCUAUUUGGGGUCCCGUGGGAUAGGGAUAGCCUAUUUGGGGUCCCGAGGGAUAGCCUAUGUGGGGUCCCGCAGACGGUCUCGGAUUCGUAGUUUGAGUCACGAGGGAUGGCCUAUGUGGGGUCCCGAUGACGGCUCCCUACGAAUCGAGAUGGCUCGCCAGUAGAUUGGGUAAUGUACUCACGAGAAUUCUACAAAUUAGGCAUGAGCGAUAGUCGAGUCCUAGUAGAGUGGACAUUAGGCUGAGGUGCAAGUGAGACGUCCUUCGCCUCGAGCCUGGCUUGUGCGGUACUCCGCAGACGAUUGACUCAAGAUUGAGUUGGGCGAUUAGCUUUGUAAAGGUAGAUGAAACUUUAUGACAAAAGCGGUAAAGGACAGAAAACCUUAAAUGCCAAUUGGAUGAAAGUAGUAAUCGAUUGAAUUUCUAGUUGGUUGUAUAGCUGUAUUAUUGCAUGAUCUUCAUAUUGCAUAUCGCGAGGCAAUGCAUGGUAUUGUGAGUUGCAUAAUCUUAUUAUCAUAUCUAUCUGUUUAUUGAACUAACUUGCAGUGUCACGCCCCGAGCCCGAUCCCUUUUGGCCGGUUCGAGAGCGUCAAACAGACGCCGAACGGACAGAGCUUCCCCUGUCCGCCCAAGGCUCAACACAAGUAUCAAUAGAGUACAAUUUGCAUAAGCGGAAGCAUACACGAUGGCUAGCGCGAGGGCAAGCAAUAGCCAAGGCGAAAGAAUUAACAAUUCAAUAUACAAGUAAUAUGACUAAAUUUAAAUCACAUAUAUGCAUCCAACUAUAAUCGAGUUGUUCACAUUCUUGCAUUAUUUCUUUUUACAUCUCAUUUCACCCAAAAUAUAACUUUUGACAUUUAAAAUCAAGAUUCUUUACAUCAUUCAUUAAAGCAAGUUCGUGAUACUAAAAUCAUCAAAUACAAAAGAUGAUAGUAAAGGGUAUGCAACUACAAAAUGAUAAGCAUCUCGGGCGGUCUCUAGUUAGGGCGCGAUGCCCUUGCCCCGAUCGUCUACCAUCUCGCUGGGUCCCGGCACUGUGAAAUAGGGGUGUGAGAACUACAAUAAAGUUCCCAGUGGGUUCGGCAACCAACCACGCCGACUAUCCCACUAGGUCUAAUCAGGCAUAAUAAAAUGAAAGGAAGUAAGUAACCAACUAACAGAUGCAACUAAUAUGCCUGAACGAUAUAAAAUGAUAUGCACAAUGUAAAGCUCAUGAUGAAUGCAAGGUCACAGUGUCAAUACCCAAUCUCUUGGCUAACCCGUAGGUUUCGCCCUCAACAAACUCACCAACUCAAAAUCCCAAUGAUCGGGGAGAUACUCGCUACACCCGAUGGGACCGCCCUCUGGGAAGAUACUCUCUACACCCAGUGAUGUCGACUCCGGAGCACAUCACCCGAGGGGGAGCUACCACAACCUCGAGCAAGGACUAAAGUGAGUACGAUCAAUGUAACAUACCAGAUUUUAAAUAUAAAAGAGAAAAAUAAAUAAAAAUAGUAUGAAAUACUAUUUUAUUGGAUUUAAAGAAGUGAAAUAUCGGUUGGGAACGACCUGUGCUGAAAUCGGAGCGAAAACAGAAGAUUUAGAAUUUUCUGUUGGAAACGGGACUGAUAAAUUAGCAGAAAAUGCACAGUCUCAGAAAAUUAUGAAAAUUAGCGGGGAUGUCAGAAAUAUUUUUAUGAGGCUAGAUUUAAAGUUUCAUAUUUUUCUGACACCCGUAGAGUGAGAAAUAAAAUCCGAAAGCUAUCUGAUAAAGAUUGCAGUUCGGCACAGUUUUCGGUGACCAAACGGAGUCGAAACUGAAAACUUAAGAUAUAUUCUUGCUCAGUACGUUAAACUGAGCCUGCCUGUCAAAUUUGAGCGAAAACGGACAUCCGGAAGGGCUCCAACGAAAUUUAUCAGAUUUCAGGCUGCCCGUAGUGAAUAGUGUGUAGUUGAGGGGCAAAAUGGUAAAAUGGGAUUAAAUCCCUUUUGCUUCUUCUUCCUCCCAGCCGUAGCAGCCCAAACCGCACACACACACACGCGCAUGGAAGGGAAGAGAGAAGCCUCUCUUUCUCUCUCUAAAUCUCUCCCAAAAAGAAUGGAUUUGGUGGAGAUUGAAGCUUGGAGGUGGAUCGCCUUCGUCUUCUUCAUCUUCUCCAUGGUUUGGAGCUCAUUUUGAGGUGAGCUUCUUGAGCCCUUUAAUGGUAGAUCUUUAAUGCUUGGUUUAAAUACCUUAUAAAUGGAUUUAGAGGAGUCCUAGCAUGCUAUCUAGAUGAUUAAUGCUUGAAUCAUGGAUCAAUUUAGUGAUUUCUUGCAUAGUUGUAACCUAGGGCUCCAAAAUGCAAACUUUCAAAAUAUGAGGGUUUGAUCUCAUUUGACCCUUCGUAAACCUAAUUGCUAGGUAACGAAACGCGUUGGCGAAGACGGUUCGGCAAUCCGACGAGCCGUUACAAAGUUAUUAAAGAAAUAGACGUUUAGGCUUCGGGUCCGCCGGGAGGGCCGAGGCGACGUCGUAAAAUCAUGGAAAUGGAUUUGAGGCAUCGUGGCACAUAACCGAAGACCUAUAAUUUUCGGGGCUGCGAAGCGGAGCACGGUUGAGGCGCAGUUGCAGUAUCGGGCCGUGCCGGAUACGGGUGCCGCGGGAGGCCGAUUGCAAGUGUCGACAAGCAAUCGGAACGCGAAUUAAGGUGGGUUGUGUUUACCGAAGCGACUAGGUCGCCUUUAUGUCUAAGAAACUAAGAAUCCAUAUUGAUGCAUAUAAAUGUAAAUGAAGCAUGUAAAUGAUGCAUGUAACUAAAUAAUGCAUGUUGAUAGUAUGAUGUAAAUGCUAAAUAGAAUGCAUUAUGAGCAAGUUACAUAAUGCUAAAUAAUGUAAUGUAGAAAUGCUAGAAUGCAUUAUGAGCAAGUUACAUAAUGCUAAAUAAUGUAAUGUAGAAAUGCUAGAAUGCAUAAUGAGCAAGUUAUAUGAUGCAUGUUUAUAGUACGAUGUAAAUGCUAAGUAGAUGCAUAUAAAUGAUAUAUGAGAUUAUAAACGCAUGAUUAGCAUUAUGAGAUCAUAGAUGCAUGCUUAGCAUUGUGAGAUUAUAUAUGCAUAUGAACUUGGCUGAUAACUCUAGCUUGAAUAGAGAGAUAACAUUGAAAAAUGAGAAUUGAUGACUCUAGAAUGAGUAGAAUGCUUAAUUGGACAAUUAGUAUGUGAAUUAGAUCGAGUGGCAUCUAACUUAGUGUUAAGGAACAUAGGUCGUGAGUAGACCUAUAAUCAAAUAGAUCGAGUGGCAUCUAACCUAGUGUUAUUAAACAUAGGUCGUGAAAUGAAAAGUACUUAACCUAGAGUCAAGUGAACCAAGGUUAGAAAGAAUAAUGAUCCUAGUGUAAUAAACCUAGGUUAAGAAUGUGAAAGCAAUAAAUCUAAUGGGUGAACUUAGGUUGAGUAAAGGCUUAGACCUAGAGAGGUCAGUUCCAUAGGGUUAAGACCAACCCCUAUGUGAUCUGAAAUGGAUUCCGGAAUCCCAAGGCUAAAAGGAUACACCCAAAGUGGUGUCGGGUGUGUGCGAUGAUUGCGCCGCCCAAGGGCUAAAGAACCUUUGUCGUGGCGUGUGCGACGAUUUCGCCGCCGGAUGGUUAGCCAGUUUGUGGAUCCUACCGCCUGUUGACUGAACCACUGUCGUGGUGUUUGUGCGACGAUUUCGCCGCCGGGUGGCUAAGUCAUGGACCUAGGCCGUUGUUGGGUGAGGUGCGAUUCGUCCGCCGCCAGACGGCUAGGACAGGAGUACGGUGAGCUGUUGCCAGCUGAGGUGCAUGUGAGAGUUCCUUCACCUCGAGCUAGACAGUGCGCGGACUAUCCGCGAUUGAUUGACUCAAGACCGAGUCGGGUGGCAUAGAGAACUAAGGUAAGAGAAACCUUAGGAAAGAAUGGCCAGUAGAAAAGUGCGACAAAGUGUAAAGAAUAAAGAAUAAGUAAAGAAUAAAGUUCGGCUAAGGAAUAAGAAUAGCUGAUUAGUAAAGAAAGGUUACAAGUAAAGAAUAGCUAAGAGCUAAAAGUAAUUAAAUGACAAGAGUAAAGAAUGAUUAAGAAUAUAAGUAGCGUUAAAGUAACCUACUUGCAUGAUUACAGGUAUUGCAUAUUGCAUUUCGUGAGGCAUGACAUGUAUUUCAAUUGAAUAUAUAUAUCUGUUGUAUAUUGUUGAACUAACAUGUUGCAGUGCCUCGUUAGACCUGUUGGUUGAGCUGGUUCUCUUGGGUGGCUAAACCCACUGAGGACUAUGGACAAUAGUCUCACCCCCGUGUUGCUGUUUUGGGGGUACAGGUACACACGUGUGCGGCGCGGCGGCGCAAGGCGAGGGCGUAGUUCUGCAGAUAGCGCCCUACCCCAGAGACCAGAGCUAGCAGUACCCCAUCUAUAUAGCUUAGGGGUAAAGGAAAUGAAAAGAAUACAAUGUAUCAAACUUGUAGUAAGUAAAUGUUGUAAUAACUUAGAUUGCAUUUGGAUGAAAAAGAAUGGAAACUGUGAUGUAAAAACUAUGAAAGUGAAUGAAUGUAAUAACUUAGGAUGUGUUUAUGUUGUAUGAUACCUUCCACUUGAAAUCUUGAUUGAUAUCCGUUCCUGGUUGGAACCUUCGUGAAUUGUAUUGAUUGCGAUGCUUUGAAUGUACAGGGGAGACUCUGUCCGUAGUACAAGGGAAACCUUGUCCAUUCGGCGAUGUCGGCGGCGCCGGGACCUUGGCCAAAUAGGCGGGUGGUCGCGGGCUGUGACAGUUGUGGUAUCAGAGCAUAAAGUAGAGAAUGGGAAUGGCUUAGACUGACCUAGGAGACCCUAGGAUAGUAAAACCAUAGAAGAAUAAGGCUCGUGAGAGACGAGGACUCAUGAUUCGUGGCGAAAGGUUAAUGGAUUGGGUUGUGUUGUAAACCUCUAAGACGGAUAUUAGAGGUAGACUCGAGGUGUUGUUUAUUCUCAGCCAAGGAUGUUCAUGUUGGGCGUACGACAACAUGAAACCGAGUGAUGUGAAUAAACACCCUUGCGUGACUUUCGCCUGAUUGGCUUUUGAGCCGGUGUUAGUGGUCUCGUGUUCGACCCAAGUUGGUCGAGAACUAAUCGAGUUGUCGUGUUUCAGGAAGCGAUGGCACCGCGUAGGCGAUCUUCUUCCAGAUCGGCGCGGGAGGGGACAAGUGGUGUUCCCGAGCAAGUCGACGCGAGCGAAGGCGCAGAGCUUCGUGAUCAGUUGGCCACACUCAUUGGAGUGAUGAGGCAACAAGCUGAUGUGGUGCAGAGGCAGCAGGAGGCUGCUAUGCGCCAGGAAGAGCGAAUGGAAAGACUCCAAGAAACGGUGGACCAGCUGGUGGGUGCACCAGCUGCGGCUCGUCGAGAACGGCCGGGAGUCGCGGCGGAGAUGUUCCCGUCGGGGUCGGGCGAUCCGACUCCUGUUAGUUCAGAGGUGGCGGCAGAAAGGGAGCGAGCUUUGGCUGCCCUCAUGGCUUUCAAGAAAUUUGAUCCGCCUACCUUCGAUGGUGAGGAUCCAGAUCCGUGGAUCGUGGAGAUGUGGAUUGAUGCCAUGGAAACGCUCUUCGAGGAUCUGUACACGUUGGAGCGAGACAAGGUAAACCUAGUCGCGCAUUAUCUCAAACAGUCGACGAAGGUGUAGUGGAAAGGCGUCAAGCAUGAUCGACCGCCUAGUCUCCCUCCUAUGACGUGGGAAGAAUUUCGGGGAUUGGUGUUCUCUGCUUAUUUCCCCGAUAGCGAGAAGCGGAAGCUCAAGGAAAGGUUCCUUAAGCUGCGGCAAGGAAGUCGCACGGUCAGGCAAUAGGAGCGGGAGUUUUUCCGUAUCGUGCAUUGUAUCCCAAACGUGGUGCGAGAUGACAAGGACAGGGCCGACUGCUUCGUGCGUGGACUUCAGCCAGAUCUUUACCAGGCGGUGCUGGUACUCAAGUUGCAGAUUUUUGCUGAAGUCCUGGAUCGGGCCUUGUGGAUAGAACAGGGCAACGCCUUUAUGCGGGAAGAGCGAGAGGCAUAUUACAAGGAAAAGGGGAAAGGACGACCGACAGGUGGAUCCAGUAGUCAGUCAAGUUCCCAACGGACUUUGACGAGUUCGCACUCGCGAUCCCGAGCUCCGGGGACAUACCGCAUUCAGUCCUCGGCGAAAUGUGCUAUUUGUGGAGGCCCUCAUUUCCCACGACAGUGUGAGCAACGUGAAGGCAAGUACUUCAAGUGUGGGCUGCCGGGUCAUAUGUGGGACGAGUGUCCGCGUGGUGACGGCCGGGCCUUGACACUGGCGACGGCCCAUCCCUCUCUGGGACAACCUGCAGGUGUGCCACCUGCGGCAUGGUCGGGAGAGCGGCCGUUGAGGACGAUGCAACCAGAGGGUUCGCGACGAGCGCCAGGUGGGCAUCGGUAAGCGACCCGAGUUGCAGAGCCUGCCGUUGCUGACGUCAUCGUGGCAGGUAUGAGUUAAUUGAGCAAGCAUGUGCUUUUACUAAUCUCAAGUUGGUGCAUAGCAUGCAUUUGUUGUUGGUCGGUUGCUACUAAUUAUAUAUUGCAUAGUAGGGACCGAAUAGUCGGGUAAGUAGACGCCCGUACAUGCUUGCAUUGUGAGAAGUGGCACCUGCUGGUGCAAGUAGAAAGCCAAGUGGUGCUAGCUAAUGGCUAGUGAUGAUUCUCCGGUACGGAAUGAGGCUCGUGGAGAACAUGGUCUAGUAAGUGACUCUCGAAAUAAUGGGUUGAAAAUUGUGAGAGUUGAGCCUUGAUGUUGAGGAUACUCGAAAGACACGGGAGUUGAGAAUGUAUUCCGGUAGAUCGAACAGUGAAGGUAGAAUCACUGUUGAGAGAGUAACCGUAUAGUUGCCGAAUACGGGCACGUAGGCCUAGUAGUACCUCAAGUUGAGGUCGGCGAGUCCUGCUCGUGUAGUCGGUGUGCAUAGGCAAGGUUGCCUGAUGCUAGAUUUCGUGGAACGCUUUAGAGGCGUAGAGCGCUCGAGUGUAGUUACUCGUGAAGUGCGGUUUUGAUUCAGCCGGUUGAGUGAAUUGGCAGUAGCACUUUAGCAGGGCUAAGUGUGAAGCGGGCCAUGGAUCACUCGUAGGGCUGGUGGCUCGCACUAGGUACCUGGGGGCCGAUAGAGUGUGUAGCUCUGUAGAGCAUGUCGUUUAGGACGACGACGACGAGUGGUGCUUGAGGAUGACCCGUGCCUGGACCGUUUGUGAACUGUGUAGCCUGGGCCCAUUGGGCAGGCGCAGUCAGCUGUGAGAGACAGCGGCCCGAUACCUACUGGUAGGGCAUAGUGUUGGUCAGGACGGUAGUCCGAGCUUGGACAUAAGUACGUGGAAUGCCACGCGAUAGAUCGUGAGAUUGAUGGCACACCAAGUGUGUAGUGACCCAACCCGAGGACUUGACGUGGUCUAGGAUCUUGGUUGCACCUGGUUGGAGUGUGUGUGAAUUCUCCAAUGAGAAUUUCGCCCAAUGAUGAUUGGAUCUACGAUGCGGGCAAGAGACGCUAUGCGUAGUUGUGACAGGUAUAGGCGGUAGGCCUACGUAAUGAUUAUGAUCGUUGGUCCGCCUGUGAAAACCGAUGAUCAGUGCGGCAAGCAACUCUGUUAGUGAGUUGGGCUUGGAUUCACGAACGGAGGGUUCGUGUGAUGUUGAACGUGGCUUGUGGUAGUAAAGGAUAAAGAGAAAAGUAAAGUGUUCUCUAGGAGACACUUGAAUAAGAAAUAGCCACGUGAGGGUUGGUGUAAGGAAGUGAAUUCUCGAAAUGCGAGAGUUGGACUUCGCUCAAAAUCGACAAAUUGUCGAGUGGUUGUGCUUCGGAAAUGCCGAAGAGGUCAAAUACACCAAAGGUGCAUUGCAACGGAUCUGCGAGAGCAAGUGUGCAAAAAUCUGCACUUGGCAGAUUUGCUCUCGGGGACCGAUCCCUGUCAAGGAAGGACCGGUCCCCCGUAGCUGGUUGGUGCGAGGUUGCGUGAUGCAACCGGUCCCUUGGCCAGAGGGACCGGUCCCCCGUAUGCGAAACCGGCGAGAAGAGGAAAUUGGCUAAGUCCUGCGAGAGCAAGCUCUCGGGGACCGGUCUCUAGUGGACAGACCGGUCUCCGGGGGACCGGUCCUCCAGGGACAGACCGGUUCCCGUAAGUGUGUUCAGGCUGAAGGCUCUCGGGGACCGGUCCCUGGCAGGGAGAGACCGGUCCCUCUACACAUAAAAUUUUCCAGGCAGGCUGGGUCAUGUUGGAGGAGUUGGAAUUGUUUGAGUUUCGAGGACGAAACUCUUAUAAGGAGGGGAGAAUGUAACAUACCGAAUUUUAAAUAUAAAAGAGAAAAAUAAAUAAAAAUAGUAUGAGAUACUAUUUUAUUGGAUUUAGAGAAGUGAAAUAUCGGUUGGGAACGACCUGUGCUGAAAUCGGAGCGAAAACAGAAGAUUUAGAAUUUUCUGUUGGAAACGGGACUGAUAAAUUAGCAGAAAAUGCACAGUCUCAGAAAAUUAUAAAAAAUUAGAGGAUAAGUCAGAAAUAUUUUUAUGAGGCUAGAUUUGAAGUUUCAUAUUUUUCUGACGCCCGUAGAGAGAGAAAUAGCAUCCGAAAGCUAUCUGAUAAAGAUUGCAGUUCGGUACAGUUUUCAGUGACCAAACGGGGUCGAAACUGAAAUAUUAAAAUUUCUUUGGACUUAUUAAGUAAAACCGAGCAUGCCUGUCAAAUUUGAGCUCAAACGGACAUUCAGAAGGGCUCCGGCGAAAAAUAAACUGCCCGAAGUGAAUAGUGCGUAGUUGAGGGGCAAAAUGGUAAAAAGGGUUUAAAACCCCUUUUCUUCUUCUCCUCCCAACCGUGGCUGCCCCAACCGCACACACCACACACGCAUACACAAGAACACACACACGCAUGGAAAGGAAAGGAGAGAAAUCCCUUUCUCUCUCUAAAUCUCUCCCAAAAUGGAUGGAUUUGGUGGAGAUUGAAGCUUGGAGGUGGAUCGCCUUCGUCUUCUUCAUCUUCUCCAUGGUUUGGAGCUCAUUUUGAGGUGAGCUUCUUGAGCCCUUUAAUGGUAGAUCUUUAAUGCUUGGUUUAAAUACCUUAUAAAUGGAUUUAGAGGAGUCCUAGCAUGCUAUCUAGAUGAUUAAUGCUUGAAUCAUGGAUCAAUUUAGUGAUUUCUUGCAUAGUUGUAACCUAGGGCUCCAAAAUGCAAACUUUCAAAAUAUGAGGGUUUGAUCUCAUUUGACCCUUCGUAAACCUAAUUGCUAGGUAACGAAACGCGUUGGCGAAGACGGUUCGGCAAUCCGACGAGCCGUUACAAAGUUAUUAAAGAAAUGGACGUUUAGGCUUCGGGUCCGCCGGGAGGGCCGAGGCGACGUCGUAAAAUCAUGGAAAUGGAUUUGAGGCAUCGUGGCACAUAACCGAAGACCUAUAAUUUUCGGGGCUGCGAAGCGGAGCACGGUUGAGGCGCAGUUGCAGUAUCGGGCCGUGCCGGAUACGGGUGCCGCGGGAGGCCGAUUGCAAGUGUCGACAAGCAAUCGGAACGCGAAUUAAGGUGGGUUGUGUUUACCGAAGCGACUAGGUCGCCUUUAUGUCUAAGAAACUAAGAAUCCAUGUUGAUGCAUAUAAAUGUAAAUGAAGCAUGUAAAUGAUGCAUGUAGCUAAAUAAUGCAUGUUGAUAGUAUGAUGUAAAUGCUAAAUAGAAUGCAUUAUGAGCAAGUUACAUAAUGCUAAAUAAUGUAAUGUAGAAAUGCUAGAAUGCAUUAUGAGCAAGUUACAUAAUGCUAAAUAAUGUAAUGUAGAAAUGCUAGAAUGCAUAAUGAGCAAGUUAUAUGAUGCAUGUUUAUAGUAUGAUGUAAAUGCUAAGUAGAUGCAUAUAAAUGAUAUAUGAGAUUAUAAACGCAUGAUUAGCAUUAUGAGAUCAUAGAUGCAUGCUUAGCAUUGUGAGAUUAUAUAUGCAUAUGAACUUGGUUGAUAACUCUAGCUUGAUUAGAGAGAUAACAUUGGAAAAUGAGAAUUGAUAACUCUAGAAUGAGUAGAAUGCUUAAUUGGACAAUUAGUAUGUGAAUUAGAUCGAGUGGCAUCUAACUUAGUGUUAAGGAACAUAGGUCGUGAGUAGACCUAGAAUCAAAUAGAUCGAGUGGCAUCUAACCUAGUGUUAAUAAACAUAGGUCGUGAAAUGAAAAGUACUUAACCUAGAGUCAAGUGAACCUAGGUUGGAAAGAAUAAUGAUCCUAGUGUAAUAAACCUAGGUUAAGAAUGUGAAAGCAAUAAACCUAAUGGGUGAACUUAGGUUGAGUAAAGGCUUAGACCUAGAGAGGUCAGUUCCAUAGGGUUAAGACCAACCCCUAUGUGAUGUGAAAUGGAUUCCGGAAUCCCAAGGCUAAAAGGAUACACCCAAAGUGGUGUCGGGUGUGUGCGACGAUUUCGCCGCCCAAGGGCUAAAGAACCAUUGUCGUGGCGUGUGCGACGAUUUCGCCGCCGGAUGGUUAGCCAGUUUGUGGAUCCUACCGCCUGUUGACUGAACCACUGUCGUGGCGUUUGUGCGACGAUUUCGCCGCCGGGUGGCUAAGUCAUGGACCUAGGCCGUUGUUGGGUGAGGUGCGAUUCGUUCGCCGCCAGACGGCUAGGACAGGAGUACGGUGAGCUGUUGCCAGCUGAGGUGCAUGUGAGAGUUCCUUCACCUCGAGCUAGACAGUGCGCGGACUAUCCGCGAUUGAUUGACUGAAGACCGAGUCGGGUGGCAUAGAGAACUAAGGUAAGAGAAACCUUAGGAAAGAAUGGCCAGUAGAAAAGUGCGACAAAGUGUUAAGAAUAAAGAAUAAGUAAAGAAUAAAGAUCGGCUAAGGAAUAAGAAUAGCUGAUUAGUAAAGAAAGGUUACAAGUAAAGAAUAGCUAAGAGCUAAAAGUAAACAUUAAAUGACAAGAGUAAAGAAUGAUUAAGAAUAUAAGUAGCGUUAAAGUAACCUACUUGCAUGAUUACAGGUAUUGCAUAUUGCAUUUCGUGAGGCAUGACAUGUAUUUCAAUUGAAUAUAUAUAUCUGUUGUAUAUUGUUGAACUAACAUGUUGCAGUGCCUCGUUAGACCUGUUGGUUGAGCUGGUUCUCUUGGGUGGCUAAACCCACUGAGGACUAUGGACAAUAGUCUCACCCCCGUGUUGCUGUUUUGGGGGUACAGGUACACACGUGUGCGGCGCGGCGGCGCAAGGCGAGGGCGUAGUUCUGCAGAUAGCGCCCUACCCCAGAGACCAGAGCUAGCAGUACCCCAUCUAUAUAGCUUAGGGGUAAAGGAAAUGAAAAGAAUACAAUGUAUCAAACUUGUAGUAAGUAAAUGUUGUAAUAACUUAGAUUGCAUUUGGAUGAAAAAGAAUGGAAACUGUGAUGUAAAAACUAUGAAAGUGAAUGAAUGUAAUAACUUAGGAUGUGUUUAUGUUGUAUGAUACCUUCCACUUGCAAUCUUGAUUGAUAUCUGUUCCUGGUUGGAACCUUCGUGAAUUGUAUUGAUUGCGAUGCUUUGAAUGUACAGGGGAGACUCUGUCCGUAGUACAAGGGAAACCUUGUCCAUUCGGCGAUGUCGGCGGCGCCGGGACCUUGGCCAAAUAGGCGGGUGGUCGCGGGCUGUGACAAUCAAUCCUACAGUUGAGGAUUCCAAGUUCAAUCCAUUCCUUAACUUUAAGGAAGACUAUGCUCAAUUGACCCUUAGUACUAAGGUUGAAUGUCAUAAUAUCUCAAUCGUUCUUGUUCUUGCAUUCUUUACUACCACUAAUGUCAUAUACACUAUCAAGUUCUUGAACUCAUGCCACACUUGUUCUCUAAAUGCUAGAUUUUUGUCCUCAUGCCAAAUGCCACACUUGUUUACUAAGGAUUCUAGACUCGUCGAUGUCAUUUGCUAGAUCUAUGUCAAAGUGUCACUUUUCGUUUACUAACCCUUCUAGGUUCUUGUCACAAUCAUGCAUACAUAGGGAUCAUCAUUCUCACACCCUUACAAAUAUUUAACAUGCAUUUGAAUUUACAUUAAACUAUAACAAAACUCACAAUUGACCCUAUUAUGCAAGAUGCUCAAAAAUGCACAUAUACUCAAAAUAUAACAAUUAGACAUAGAAAGACUUCCGAUGUCCUUGGAAUGCACCACCUACCUUAGAUGGUUACAAGGAUACUUCGGUGAAUUUCUUGGAAUUUUUUUGAAACCCUAAUCCGCGUGCUGCGGCUAUCUGUACGGAAAACGAUGUUUUUGUCAAUAACUUUGCAUACACUCGUCGGAUUGUCGAACCGAGCGUUCCAACGCGUUUAAAAUACCCUCAAUUAGGUUUCUACAUGAUCAAAAUAUAUCAAAACCUAACUUGGGCAAAACCCCUCUUUGGGAUGCCCUAACAUGCAAUUUUUGUAUUUUUCCUAGAUUGAUCUCAUUACUAAGAAAAAGAAAGCUUAGAAUCACUUGGGAAGCUUUCUAACAAGGUUUCUAAACUUUUAGAACCAUCCCUAGAGCAUCUACUUUGAGCCCUAGUGAUCCACCAUGAGAGGGGUCCAAGAAAUCCAUGUUUUUCAUGGAGUCAUGGUUCUUAGAGGAUUUCCUCACUUGUAGAGAGAUCAAGACCCAAAAAUCUAAGGUCUAAACCCAAACCCUAAACCCAUUUUUGCAUAAGGACUCACUUUUGCCCAAGCUCCAUCAAAGCCUACUUGUUGGAGAGCUUCUAGGAACACCAAAGCCACCAAAAUCCAUUUCUCCAAGCUCUUCUCCACCUUCUCCAAGCUCUAGGGCUUGCUUUCUAGAGAGAGAAAGAGAGGAAAAUGAGAGAGGGGGAUGUGUGUGGCUGUGGGAGGGAGAGAGAGAGGUGUUGGGGAGUUAACAUGUUGCUACAAUUGCAACUAGGCCCUCCAUUUCUUUUUAUUUGCGUCAGACCUCACUGGGCUGUCUGGGGCCUCUUGUACCGGUACAAGGAUUCUUGUACGGGUACAAGGCCAAACAGUGAGCCAAACCCGAGAGCUGCCUCUUGGGUUCGCAGGGUCUGUACCGGUACAAGGGGUCUUGUACCGGUACAAGGCCUGGACUGCACCAACCCGAGAGCUGCCUCUCGGGUUCGCAGGGUCUGUACCGGUACAAGGGGUCUUGUACCGGUACAAGGCCUGGACUGCACCAAUCCGAGAGCUACUCAGCUCGGAUUGCGCUGGUUGUACCGGUACAACUAUCACCUUGUACCGGUACAACAGCUCCAGAAUGUUGUUUUAGGCUUCGAUUCGACUCUACCUCGCGUCGGUCGAUGCUAAAACCAUUCUAAGUCUUCCCAAACUCAUUUUUAGCCCUUCCAACAUUAUUGGAAUGCAAGAGGAACUUGUCUAUCGUUUUCUUUCGAUGCUUUAACCAAUUUGGUCAAAGUUCAAUUAUCGUUUUCGGGUUUCGAUAUGUUACAUGCAGCUUGCCUCCUUCGGACCUGUCGAUCGAGCUUUUCCCUUGAGCGGCCGUACCCACUGGGAACUAUGGAGUUAGUUCUCACCCCACGUUGCUUUUGGGGUGUUACAGGUUCACACGUGAGCGGCGCGGCCACGCGAGGCGAGGGCGUAGCUCCGUAGAUAGAGCCCUACCACCGUGACCAGAGAUAGCAGUACCCAAGUCAGCCAAGCUAGGGGUUGUAGAAAAUGAAAGCAAAAUGAUCAAACUUGUAAUAAUCUUGUGAUGAUUGAUUGUAUUCGGAAGUUUAAAUGUAUUUGAAAGGAAAAGAAAUGUAAAUAAUAUCAAGUGAAUGAAUGUAAUAACUUAGGAUGUGUUUAUGUUGUUUGAUACCUUCCUUAUGCAAUCGUUGUAUGUUGAAUACUGUUCUUGGUUGGAACCUGUUGUAAUUGUAUUGAUUGCGACGCCUAGGACGUACAGGAAAAACUCUGUCCGUUCGGCGGUCUGUCGGCGUGCCGAACCUGACCAAAUAGGCGGGGCUCGGGGCGUGACAACACUGGACCUUUGUAAAUUGUGAGGUUCGAGUGUUUGAUUUGUAUUCUGAGCUUUUCCACAUUUUUUGGAAGGUCGUAGAUAGUGUUUCGACCUAUGGCUCGCAUCUCGAGAAUCGAGAUUUUAAACUUAGCGCUAAGGUCUCCAAAGAGAAGGACUUAGGCUGCUCUCGGGUUGGUUUCUGCAGAGUGUGGUACCGGUACAGCAUUGAGCUUGUACCUGAAUGAGGGGUGGUACCGGUACAACAUCGGGUUUGUACCGGUAUCAGGCAUCGUUUUCUGCCAACCCGAGGCUCGGGUUUGCGUGCACAGUGUUUGAUACCGGUACUCUUGCCCGAUGGUACCAGUACGCAGUGCAGUCCGCAAACUGCUUGUUUUGGGAGGGUGUUUUUACAAUUAUAGCAUCUCUAUAUAACACCCCACGCCCCUUAGGUGUUUCCCUGAGCUUGGAAACACAGGAGGAAGGGAGGAAAGCCCUCCACUUCCACCCUUUGGUUUUUUUUGAUUUAUGUUGGAAUUUUUCAGAUUUAAUCCUCUCUUUUUGUCCCUUUUUGCUUGUUGGUAGUAUUUCCACCAUGGUUGAAGGCUUGGAGCUUGGAGAAAAGCUUGUUGGAGGAGAGAUCUUCAACCCUAGUUGAUUUCAAGCCUUAUUUGGAGCUUCUCUUGAGGUUAGUAAUAUAUUUCUUGCUUUAGAUUCAUGUUUUAAUUGAUUUCUUGAGAUGAAACCCUAGAAUGUGAAACCUAGGGUUUAUUUUGGGGGUUUUUAAUUUGUAGCUCUUGGGGCUCAAUUGAUAGGUGUAGAACAUCUCGUUGGGAUAGAUUUGAAGGGCUCUAGCAUCCAUUUGAAAUUUGAGAGGGAUUUUCUAAACAUUAGGUGAGUUUUGCCUUAUUGUUGGAUUUGUUAAAGAUGAACACUUUGGGUGUUCGGUUAUUUUGUUUAACCCUCUUAGAAUUCUCUUUAGGGAGCUAAGAGACUUAUGGACAACUUCUUUUGUGUAAACGAAAGGGUUGCAAGAAGCCUCGGUGAGUUUGACCUCACCAAAAUGAGAAAAUCUCACCUAUGUCUUUUUAAAUAUUAUAAAAUAGAAAAUCAUGCAUAUUCAUGCUAGAUAAGGCAUAAAUGAAUUUUAGAAUGCUUGAAAUACACAUAUUAUAUACAAUGCAAAUUUGUACCUCUAUGUAGUAGAGAGUUAUAUAUGUCGGAAUCUUGCAUAUAAAUAGCAUUCUUAUAUGUGGCUUGGGAUCAUGUUUCAUGUAGUGAAAAUGACAAGUAUAAUAUGCCCUUGGACAUAGAUCUUAUAUUGGACAUAGGAGAAAACAUAAUGCCAUAAAGAGGCAUUAGACUAUAGUGAUGUGUGAAUUAGUAAGCUAAUGUCAUAAAGUGGCAUUAGGCUUAGAAUGUACUUGGACAUAGUAAGCUAAUGUCAUAAAGUGACAUUGGGCUUAAAAUGUGAUUGGACUUAGUAUGUUAAUGUCAUAAAGUGACAUUGAACUUAAUAUAUAGUUAAACCUUACCUUGGAACAUUAAACUAGACCGUUGGGGUUGCUAAUGAUUAUUACCAUGUUAGAGACAUGAUGACCGGGUUCUUGAGAUGACGACUAUGCUUGCUUACUAUUUGUGCUCAUUCGCACAUACUUGUGAGGGUCGCUCCCUACAAGCCGGCACUCCGGAGUUAGCCUACACGACAUAUACUCGCUUGUGCGGUAUUGAGAAGCCUACGGGGCCGGGUAGGAUAGACUCAUUCCUAGAGUGGGAAUAUUGAGCUACCACUGGCAUUUAGGCGGCACAAGCCGGACUACACUUGUAUAGGUCCUAAAAUGAGAUUGGAUAAUGACAUUAAACCAUAAUAUGACAAUCACUACUAGAUAGUUGUAGUAGUUGAAUUUCUUGAACAUGCUUGUGGCAUAGUAUUAAACACUUGGUUGAUAUACUUGGACAUAUAGUAUACUUGAUAGGGUUGCUUGUUGCAUUAUAGUAUACUUGUAUGACAUGUUUAAAGCACACUAGUAUAUAUUCUAAUGAUAUACUCAUCCAUGUUAGGCUAGCUAAUGCAAUUGUGGAACUUCAUGUUAUGUAAUGGCAUAGUAGCUAACAAAUUUAAUUCAUGUUUUAUUAUUCAUACUAUCGCUUCCAAUUAAGUGUUAGAAUUAUCUACUUUGCUUUUGGGCCUAGUGGUGCAUUUGCUAAGGUCAGUAAUUGUCUACUGGGAACUAUUAAUUAUAGUUCUCACGCCCCCUGUUUGUUAUUUUCUUUCAGAGCCUUCCACCUCGAGAGAGGCUCGGGAUCACGGGAAAGGGAUCGCCUCGAGCUAGUUAGCGAGAGAUUGUGCGAUAGGUGGUCCACCUCUCUUUUUAUUUCAUUUUGGAGAGGUUGAGAGAUCUAUACCAUUUUGUAGAGACCACCAUUUUGGAUAUUAUAGCACUUGUAUUUGAGACUUUUGAUGGAUUACUCUAUGUCUUAUCUUACUGGGUUUCCACCCUUCAUGAGCUUUGUAGUGAAGAAUAUUGAUUAAAAAUGUGGAUUUGCAAGCUAGCUAAAUACUAAUUGGUCAUAGUCACAAUUCUCCAAAUGUUGGUGGAUUUGAUUAGUUGAAUAAGAAGUUAAUUAAAAAUAAAAAAAAACUAAUUGGUAGAAGCUCUUUACGACAACAUCAUUCCUUUUCCAUUCAUUGUUUCAGGAGGGUAUAUUUAGGGUUGUAGCCGCAAUACUUCAUAUAGGAAAUAUCGACUUUUCAAAGGGGACAUAUAUAAAUAGAUUCAUCUGUAAUAAAGGAUGAGAAAGCAAGGUUCCAUUUGAACACAGCAGCAGAACUUCUAAUGUAUGUCGAUUUCAUUCCAGCACCAUAGGCCAUUUUUUUUCUAUAAUUUCCGAAAGCUAGAUGUUUGUAGUUUAUUAUUCAUGUAAUUCAUCAGCUAAUGUUUUUGCAGGUGUGAUAGCGAGAAACUAGAGAAAGCACUGAUAACACGUGUGAUAGUAACACCAGAAGGAGUUAUUACUAGAACGCUUGACCCUGCUUCUGCAAUUGUUAGCAGGUAUGGAUUAGCAAAAACAAUAUACUCCCGGUUGUUUGAUUGGUAAUGUGUUUGAUUAUAUAAGAUUAGUUCCUACACAAAUUAAAGAGUAUUUCGUUAUUGAUGCAAAGCAAGAAAUUUUAUUCCUCUUUUGUUAGAAACUGACUAUUAAUGAAUCCUAUGGAUGAAAACAGUGACUGGAAAAGCUAUAGGUAUUUAUUGCAAUUAAGUUUAGUGAUAUCUGUUAUUUGUAUUUAUUACACUAAAAAGCCCAGUGGUUAGGCAACAAUUAUAUAAAUAGAUAAAAAAGUGAUUAAUAUAAACAAACAGAGCAUAUGCAUGAAUAUCCAAAGCUAAUUAAAAAUGAAAAAAAAAAUCAAAAAAAUGAUCAAAACUUACCAAAAGAAAGUAGUGAGAAAGAAGGAAAGUGGACGAACGAUUCCUCCCAAGCGGCGAUCGUGUGCGGCUCGGAGAAGGUCCUCCUAAGCGGCGAUCGCGUGUGACACGACGAAGGUCCUCUGUAAGGUACCGGACUUCUAAAAUUAUGAAGUUACGGUGUACAUUUAAAUAGUUCCGGUGAGGUUGCGGUGGAAUGUAACAUACCGGAUUUUAAAUAUAAAAGAGAAAAAUAAAUAAAAAUAGUAUGAGAUACUAUUUUGUUGGAUUUAGAGAAGUGAAAUAUCGGUUGGGAACGACCUGUGCUGAAAUCGGAGCGAAAACAGAAGAUUUAGAAUUUUCUGUUGGAAACGGGACUGAUAAAUUAGCAGAAAAUGUACAGUCUCAGAAAAUUAUAAAAAUUGGCGGGGAUGUUAGAAAUAUUUGUAUGAGGCUAGAUUUAAAGUUUCAUAUUUUUCUGACACCCGUAGAGUGAGAAAUAAAAUCCGAAAGUUAUCUGAUAAAGAUUACAGUUCGGCACAGCUUUCGGUGACCAAACGGGGUCGAAACUGAAAUAUUAAAAUUUCUUUGGACUCUUUAAGUAAAACCGAAUAUGACUGUCAGAUUUGAGCUCAAACGGAUAUUCAAGGAGCUGCGAAAGAUAUCAGAUUUGGAACUCUGAUUUGAUGUGAAUGUUUAUGUAUAUUGACAGGUUGUUGACUAUAAGUAAGAAGGUACUAGCUUCUUCCUUUCACGCCGGACCAUCCACCCUAACAAGCACACGUUCACAUGGGAAUCGAGCGUCGGUGUAGUGAUGAGAACCAUCCUUUUUCUCUCUCUAAAUAUCGUUCUCAGUCUCUCAUAUAUUUCUGCCCAAAUUGCGGCGGGUGGGUGGAGAUCGAGUUGUGAACUCCUUUUGGAGGCGCCGGAUGAAGCGUUUCGUACGCGCGUUGGAGCGGCGUGUUUUCGUCUUUUGCGGGUUCACUUGGGGUAAGCUUUUGAGGAUUUGCUUUAAUCUUAGCUUUAAAGUGUUCUGUAGCCUCUAAUGAAUCUUUGUUUGGCAUGUUGAUCCAUUUUAUAUUGGAAUUAUUUGGAGGGUUAAUUGUACGUUAGGGCACUCAAAUUGCAACGUUUUUAAAAAUAUGACGGGUUGGAUCUCAUUUUGCUUUCAGUAACUAAUUGUAGUAACGAAAAAGGUUGGCGAAGACGGUUCCGAGUAAUCCGACGAGCGUUACAGAAGUUAUUAAAGAGAAUAGACGUUUAGCUUCGGCGUCUGUGCGGGAGGGCCAAGGCCAGACGUCGUAAAUCAUGAUAAUGGAUUUAAUGGCAUCGUGGCACGUAACGAAGACUAUAAUUUUCGGGGGGUCGCGAAGCGGAAACACGUGGGCGCAGUUGAGUAUCGGGCGGCGGAUACGGGUGGCGAAAGGGCCAAUUUGCAGAGUGCUCACAAGCAAUCGGAACGCGAAUGGAGGUGGGUUGUGCUUACGAAUGCGACUAUGUCGCCUUGUCUUUAGCAUUAUCUCUAUUGAUUGCAUGUGCAUGUAGGACAAGACUAAAUGGUGAUAAUAAUAUGCAAUUAAUGUAAAGGCUAAUGUGAAGAAUGGGCAUGUACAACGAUUGCAGCUGACUAAAAUAUAGCUAAGUAGCGCAAGGGUGAGAAUGUAAUUGCUAGUAAUGUUAAGAGUGAUAUUAAUAAUAAGUUGCAUAGAUAGAAAUGUCAAUGUAUGAUGAGGAAUUAGAUGAGUAUCUCGUAGUAAGCCGAGUGAUGGACAAAUAGGAGUUGCUCAAGGUAUAAUGAGUGGCAUUCACUAGUGGUAAAGAAUCAUAGUGUGAUGUGAACAUAGUUUGGAAAAGAAGAAUGAUCUAUGUGUAAAUAAACUAGGUUUAUAGAAUGUGAAGCAUAAAUAAUGGGUGACUUUAGGGUUGAGGUAAGGGUUAGUAUCCUAGCAGAUAAGUUUCCAUUAGGGUUGAAGACCAACCCUUGUGAUGAUGAAAUGCGAUUCCGGAAUCCCAAGGCUAUAGGAUUACACCAAAGUAGGUUGUUGAGGGUGUGCGACGAUUUCGCGCCAAAGGGCUAAAGAACAUUGUACGUGGCAGUGUGCGUACGAUUUCGCGCCGGAAUGGUUAGCCAGUUGUGGUUAUCUACGCUGUUGACUGAACACUGUCGUCGCGUUUUGCGCGAUUUCAGCCGGCCGUGGUGGCUAAGUCAUGGACUAGGGCCGAUUGUUUGAGAUGAGUGCAUUAGUUCGCCGCCAGACGGCUAGGACAGGAGUACGGUGAGCUGUUGCCAGCUGAGGUACAUGUGAGAGUUCCUUCACCUCGAGCUAGACAGUGUGCUGACUAUCCGCGAUUGAUCGACUCAAGACCGAGUCGGGUGGCAUAGAGAAGUAAGGUAAGAGAAACCUUAGGAAAGAAUGGCCAGUGAAAAAGUGCAACAAAGUGUAAAGAAUAAAGAAUAAGUAAAGAAUAAAGAUCGGCUAAGGAAUAAGAAUAGCUGAUAAAGUAAAGAAAGGUUACAAGUAAAGAAUAGCUAAGAGCUAAAUGUAAACAUUAAAUGAUAAGAGUAGCGUUAAAGUAACCUACUUGCAUGAUUACAGGUAUUGCAUAUUGCAUUUCGUGAGGCAUGAUAUGUAUUUCAAUUAAAUAUAUAUCUGUUGUAUAUUGUUGAACUAACAUGUUGCAGUGCCUCCUCGGACCUAUCGGUC
Molecule: long non-coding RNA, 48550 nt
Filed under: Ananas comosus (pineapple)
Lineage: Eukaryota; Viridiplantae; Streptophyta; Magnoliopsida; Poales; Bromeliaceae
Description: long non-coding RNA (ACOM_LNC029161)
Source: RNAcentral